Molecule: long non-coding RNA, 62426 nt
Filed under: Sorghum bicolor (sorghum)
Lineage: Eukaryota; Viridiplantae; Streptophyta; Magnoliopsida; Poales; Poaceae
Description: long non-coding RNA (SBIC_LNC008814)
Rfam family: Plant small nucleolar RNA R71 (bases 17188-17294)
Source: RNAcentral
UGAGUUAGAGUAAACUGUCAAGACUUAAAACUUACUUACUUUACCUUUACCAUGGGACUUGUAACUGUCACUUCUGUCUUGAGUGGUUAAAAGAUAGAACAGUCUAGCCAAGUGCCAUGUCUCUUAUUCUUGAUCAGCUAUAGCUCUGGGGUUUUUGCAGAUUUUCUAAUAAAACUCAGAAAUUCCUUGUAUGAUUCUCUCAGGUCUCUCUUUUGUGGUAUUUUUGGAUCCUUACCAAGGCAGUGAUGGUAUAUGCCUUCUCUCAAAAUAUGUAGUAUUUGUGGUAUGAAGCAUAGUGACAUUGUCUUCUCUCUCACCCUACUCUAAUAAGGCUUUAAUAUCUGGAGCUCAUAGGUGGGAGAUAAAGUAUACAUACUUACAAGACAUUUAUUGCAUAGUCAAACCAUGGAUCCAAAGAAACAAAUCAAUAAGCCAAAUCAUGAUGUGCAUGUGUGGCGAAUGAAUGGUGUAUGGUGAUGAUGGUGAUAACAAUGGUGGUGGAAGUCUAAUUCUACUUUGCUCUUUGAGGGGAUACAUAUCUUCCUUGCUUUUGAAACUUUAUGUGGAGAAUGAGAUGGUCUUCUUUUUCUUUUCUUUCGAGGUUCCGAGCACUUGCUCCUUUUUAUUUCCUCGUAUAUUAUUUUUUUUCUCUUUUUUCUUCUUCUUUUUUUUUCUCUUUUUUUUUACUAGAGCACUCAUCUCCUGAAAUAAUGUAGCAAGUGGUAGUAACCAAAAUAACUGGAGCAUUUAUUUCACAGGGAAUAACAGGGAUGGGAAAAUGUUUUUGGCUAUUCUCUCCCAGAUUAGGAGUAGAAUCAUUUUGGGUAAAACUGGAGAUAGAAAUGAGUGGAUAUAUGUGGAUGGUACUUCCGGAGUAGAAGUAGCAUGUAUGAGUAAUCGUGCAAGUGAAUCUUGAUUUAACCACAUGACAAGCUCCUAAGGGUCUACACAGCUUGACCACACUCAAUGCUCAUAAGCAGUAAAUAGUAAAUGUGUGGCUCAAGGUCUAGCAAGCAUGUAUAUAUGGCUGUGGUAGGAAUUUAAACUCUCAUCAUACAGGAACUCAUCAUGUGUUAUUUUAAAGAUUUUUAAAGAUAAAAUUCUCCAGAAUUCUAGCAUCUCUAGGAACAGAUAAACAGCAGCUCAACCUUCCCAUAUCAUAUCCGUUAACAACUUAGACUUUAGAUCAAGUACUGUUCCCACAAGUUCAGGUUUAGAGCAAAUCUUACUUCAUAACAGUCAUGCCUAAACUUGAGAGAGAUUUCAAUUUUAAGAACUAGUUAUGGCAGAGCAACUAUUCAUCAUUUCCAUGUGAGACUUUAUCAUGAAGGUUCAUAGCAAACUUUAUUUAUUUAUUUAUUUAGCAAACUAAGCAAAGAUAUAUAUAUAUCAGCAUAGAAUUUUUAUUUGGGUUUUCAUGAUUAUGCAUCUUUAUCAUUUGAGUAAAGUAUAAACGCGAGUAGAAACACUUAGCUGGAUAAAGGGGGUGCUCUCCCCCAAGCUGGAUUUUGACGUAAUUUCUUCUGAUGUAGCUAGCAGGUGAUGGAGGUGUAUUUGAAAGUCGGCAGCACCCUGACAGCGAUUAGGAUGUCCUCCGUCUGCUAGUCUUCUUUGAUCCUUGAAUUCUAUGGAGCUCAAAUAGACAACAAAGCUUUGCGGAACUGGUUAAGUGUUAGCAUAAAUAUCUAGCCUUUAUCAUGUUGAGCCUCCUCAAUAAAUGUUACUUAUUUUGCAGGAUCAUGCACUUAUUAUUUUUUUAUAUUUUUAUUGUAAGAUGAAAACUUAUUUAUUUUAUUUUUAUGCCACCAUAGUGAAUGUACUUAUGGGUUUUAUGCCAUGAGCAUACUCACAUGGGGCUACUAUAUUUUUUUUUAACAUUUUUAUUUUCUUUUCAAGAUAAUACGAACAUGAUUAACUAAGCAAACUAUAAUUGAAUAAUUGAAAGGAAAAGGAUAACUACCAAGUUUACCGCUUGGCAAGGCGUUCGGUGUUUUUUAAGUCCUCCGAACGGGACUCUCCGUUUUCUUAGUCGUCCUGAGGUUUGUUGGGUGGCGUAGUCGGUACUUCCGGCAGCGCCUCCUCUUCAUUUGUAGUUAUCUUCAUUUUCCAUACCUGACUCGGUGUUACGGUCUCCUCAGGACAGUUCUGUUCAAGUUGUAUGUCUUCAGUCCUUAUCACUUCUCCUUCGUAGUCUACCCAUCCGUCCUUGAUGAUUUGCCUCCUCUGGUUGGGGUUGCGUUGUCUUCUUCUUGUCCUGACCUGCUUAGAAUCUUCAACUAUAUAAUCAUUAAAGUAGUGGCGUACCUUUCUCAGAGGGGAAGUGCAUGUGGACUUCUCCGGUUCCAAUAUAGAUAAUGGCUUUGAUAGUGUUUAGGAACGGUCUUCCAAGGAUGGUGGAUGGAUCAUACUUGUCUUCUCCCAUGUCAAUGACCUGAAAAUUGUUUGAAGCUGAAUGUAUCUUGGUUGUAGGGGCAUGGUUCCAUGCAGGAGCUGAUAAGUGACUGCGGCCAUUAUGUUGUCGUCAGAUCCGGUGUCGUAGAGUGCCUUCUGAAAAGAGUAUCCAUUGUUUGUGCAUUCGAUUCUUGGAACACCAGGGUCGUCCUUCUUGAUCAAGAAAGGUGACUUGAGUCGACGAUCUUGACCUCCUUGAGCUGCAGUGACCAUCUUAGCUGACUCGGUCCACAUUUGCUUGUUCCUGUUCCUUCUGUUGGUCCUGUUCCUUGGUUCAUGUCGGGAUUGCUCUGAAGUUUGUGUAGUCUUGUUCUUGAAGGAAAAUCUCCUUCUUCCCCUUGAUGUAGAAACUGAUCUUGGCAGCAUUAGCGUAGAUGAUAGCUCUGGUGUUUGGGAAUGGCCUCCGUAAGAUGAUGGGUGCCCUCUCCUCAGUACCAGUCUCUAUCACCACGAAGUUUGCUGAAGCGUACAAGGUACCAACUCGGACACAGAGGUUCUUCAAUAUUUCCUUUGGGAAACUAAGUGUCUGAUCUCCAUUGUGUUUGUGCUCGUAGAUCUCGGUUCUUCACUUGGUGGAAUCUAGGAGUUGUAAAACUCCUCCAUGUUUUGUUUGAAGUGUACCUGUUCAUAGAGACAAGGCAGAGAUCAAGUGCAUGGGCCCUGUUGGUGGAAAACACCAACAGAACCAAAAGUGUAUUUGUUCUUCUCUAACCUUAAGCAUAGUGAGCAAGACAAAGUUGAUGGAUCAUGAGUGUAGCAUUUAAAACAUUUGUUAGAUCAGAUGGCUCAACCUAAUGGAAAGAUAAUCUAUCUAUAUUUAUGUUUUGUUUAUAUCUUCCAAAGAUUGAAUGUGCAACAUUUUAGCUUAUAUGAUUAGGAGUGUGGGAUCACGAAGGUAGUACUAAGAACAAAGAUUAAAGGACUAAACAUGUUGAAUUAAUUGGGUUGAUUAAUUUGGAGCUACAAAUCAUACAUGUUUGUCUCUUUAUUUUAUGUGAACGCUAGAACCAAGGAGAAGCUUAUAAAAGUGAUAGUCAAGUACCUUAAAAUGUUACCUUACUUGAAGAGUGAUGGUACAGUAUCACCUUGUGGAAGCUUUCCUUUCUUAGCGGUUGUGCAUCGUGUUUGUGGCACCCUCCAUGAAUCAUCUCUUAUGAGCUACGUCUUUCUUGUGCAAAUUGUUUAAACUUCAUGUGUCACUUUCUUCAUCUCAAAUGUGAGUUUAUCUCAGGACUUCCCAGGUUGAUAUUGAAAGUUUUCCUGCAGGGGUUAGUCCAAAAUAUACCAAUAUCUACUCAAGCAGUUUUUAGUUCACUAACCAAACUAGACUCCAUGUCUAAUCAGAUUAAGGAAGGCUAUUUAACCGAAGCACCACGCUUAAUUUAAAUGCCAUUGGAAGUGUGACCAGUACUUCCAAACUAACACUUACUAGGAUAAACAAAGGUAGCAUGAUGGCUUUUAUAGAGAUCUACUCAAGUGGAGAUGAAGUAGUGUGAUUAUUAUUUAACAAAUUGAGCAUGUCUCAAAGGUAAGGACAACCAACAUAAUAACAUGGCAAAGGAUGUUUUAUGUAAAGUACUCCUCCAAGCUUGAAUUUUCAAAAUUCAAGUUUGGAUGAAUUUAAUUCAAUGUUGCAUGAUGAUUGGUUGGACAUACCUUGUGCUUGUCAUUCCUCGGAUCUUCUUGCUCCAAUCCUAGAAAGGUUAGUGACACGAAUACCCGAAGGAAUAUUUCUACAAUUAUCUUUAUAUGCUCAAUACACAAGGCAAUAUUGCAAAUAAUUAAAAGUUCAUGUUAUGAUCUGAUAAGUGCUUGUUUUAGGACACUAAGCUUGUCCUUGGGAAACCAUCAAUUAACUCAGCGAGAUCUGCAAUAUUUAUUAUAGACAUAUGCAUCGACAACCGCUCUUUUCAAGUUUUUAUAAAUAGAUAAGAAGAGAGGGUUGGAGAUCUCAAAUGUGGUAAUGUUGGAGAGACUAAUUGAUUGGGGAGAUGUUGCAUAUGAGCAUGGACUUGGUGAGGUAUUUAUGAAAUAACUUCCAUGCUCACUGUUGUUUCUCUCAUUCUCAAACUCCAAGGAUGAUUCUUCAUGAAUAUUUAAAAUUCCUCUAGGAUUGUCUCUUAAGUUUGUUUUAUCUAUCCAUUCAAUGGUGAUAGCACAUGGAUUUUUAAUGCCCUGUAGCCAUUGAUGUUGCUCCUCUCGAUCCUCCUUGUGGUCUUGGUGACUCUUAUGCAUGGGAUGUCUAGAUAGAUUUAUAGGAUUAUCGGGAGGUUCAAGAGAAAGAGCAUAGUACAAAUUAUUAAGCUCAAGGAUGGGUUGGAUAGCCGAAUCAUGGGAUUGGAAUGUUUGGAAAUUGGCUAUUGAAACUUCCUUUCCUCAUCUGGGAGAUGAUUCCUUCUCUAUCUCUAAGAUUUUUCUAUGAAGAUUAGUGCAAGAAGGAUGACACGAAUGAAGACAUACCUUCCUUUACAAAUAGAUAAAGAAAGAAGGACUCUACCAAAAGUUAUAUGAUUAAGACCAAUGUGAAAAUAUCUAGGAAAAACAUGGUCUUGCUGGGCUAGGUCUAAACCAGAAUUUAUAGAAAAAUUAAAAGAUUCCCUAGGUGUAGCUAAAAGUGUAUUAUCUUUUUGAUUAAAAGAUAGGACCUCGGCUAUAGAAAAGGGUUGGUUUUGACCUAUUGCAAUCAACUCCGGACACAGAUCAUAAUUAGGGGCAGGACGUGUUGACUCCCAUGGUCUAUGGCUGGUCUCCGAAGGUGCAAAGAAUUCAAUAAUAGGUAUGGAAUUUGAGUUAUCCAUAAAGAUAAAAAUAAAUAGAUAAAAGAAUAAAAGUAUAAAAGUAUAAUAUAAGAUAAUAGCAAGAUUCAAAGUUAUCUCAGCAAACCGUCUUUCUCCCCGGCAACGGCGCCAGAAAUGCUUGUUGAUUGGUAACGCAAUUAGAAAAUGAUCCGCAAGCGCACGGAUAUCGGUGAGCAUUUCACCCGGGAGGUUUUCCAGAGUAUCGUAUUUAUAUUUUUACCACUGGGAGAAAGGGUGCAUCUGACUAACCAAAUCUAUUGCUACUAUCCCUUUAGGCUACAAAGAAUGUUUCUCGAUGUGAGUGAUGUAUAGAGAAGACUGCAACCGUAGUCUCGUUCUAACCUUGGUAAGGAUGAUCUAUUGUUCUAUUGGGGAGGCUCACGGAAUCUAGACAACACAAAGGAUGUUCGACCCGCACCUAUAAACCUACCCGUCCUGCUAACGAGAUGUGAUCUACAAAGGUAACUCGGAAAUGUCACGUUCCUCGCUACUACCACGGUCCAGCUAGUCAGGGGAUAUCUUUGAGUACCCUAGCCUAAACACCACGUUUACGCUAACAAGUGAUUACUCUAAUACUCAACCGGAAGAGGAUUAAAAUAAACUCAUAAACCAAAGAACAAUAAAACAAGAACUUACUAGUAUUAGAAGUCGAAUUACUGAAGAAUCUUAGAAGCAAGCCUCGGGUUAGGAGACUUGAUCCCGUAGGUACAACUCGGAGUAGACACCGACAGGCCGGCCUUCCUCCGAUCCACACCUCCACUCUAUCUCUCUCAAUCUAGUAGAAACUAGAAGAUCUAUUUCUACUUUACAUUGGUUGCUAAGCCUAAAAAGAAAUAUUAUUUAGAGAAGAGGUUUUCCUUCGAGGGCACCCCUCAAUCUCUAUGAUAAUUUCUUGUCUCCUCCAGGGGCCAGAGGGGGUCUCCUUAUAUAGUCCUCCCCUUCUAUGCGUUUUUGGGUCGAUAGGAGAGGUGGUACUAUGUUAUUCUGGAUCCAAUAGGUCGGUGGAACGUCGUGUGCGAAGAGAGUCCGGAACGGAGUCCAGAGGGGGGCGGGCGCCCAGGUCCUCAGGGCGGGCGCCCUGGGCCUGGCCCCUUUCGGGCUCCGCUUCCUUCCCGUGGCUUCUGGAGUCUUCUAGAUGGUAGAAAAUUGCGCGGUGGGUUGAUAUCUCUAUGUAAUCCCGACAUGUGGGCCUUUCUUCCUUAUUUCCUGAUAACCCCCUGCAGAAAUAGACAAACACCAAAACUCGUGGAAUUCUGUCAGAUAAAACCCUAAGUCUAGAUGUUGAUUUCAUUUGGAUCCUUUUCUUUGUUUAUUUGAUAAGUAAAUUUGAUACUUAAGGACCGUCAACAAUGGGGUCAACGACGAGCGGGUAGACGCCAGGGGCAACUACCUUGUCGGGGUGGUCUUCUCGAUCGAAGGUGAUGGGGGUGCUUGACCAGCUGAGGUACUGGGGCACCGCCAUCCUUGCUGCGAAGACCUCACGACAUUCCCUCUUACGCUGCCUUACGGUCAACUGUCUUGAGGGCCCACCAUAGAUCAUGUAGCAGUCGUGGACGGUAGGAAAACCGUCGUCGUCUUUGUUGUCCUCCUUAUCGCCGCCCUUCUCCUUUUUAGGGUCGUCGCGCGCGUCCUUCUUGAACCCCAGACCGUUGAAAUGCUUUUUCAGCAUACGACAGUCCUUGAGCUUAAGGUUGGCUCCUCCCUUAUGGUAAGGGCACGGCUCCUCUAGCAUCUUAUCGAAGAUGCCCCCAUCUGGAGGGCCUUGAGGUUUUUUGCGUUCUAUGGCGGCGACAAGAUCGUCGUCGAAGUCCUCCCGCUGGAACGGUCGUGUUUUCUUCUUCUUCUUGUUCUUCUUGGGCCCUCGACUGGGGCCCUCAUCCUCAUCGGCGGGCUGCUUGCCUUUCCUUCCUUCACAACUGAAGAAGGCGCCGACCGCUUCUUCCCCUGCUGCGUAGUUGGCCACCACGUCCAUCAGCUCGUCGACGUUCUGUGGGCGAUUCCGGCCUAAUUCCCACACCAAGUCUCAACUGGUGGUACCAGAGACAAAGGCCAGGAUGACGUCGUGGUCGGGGAUGUGCGGCAGCUCGGUGCGUUGCAUUGAGAAGCGUCGAGCGUACUCUCAAAGAGUUUCUCCUGACUUCUGCUUGCACUUGCUGAGGUCCCACGAGUUCCCAGGCCGUAUGUAGGUCCCUUUGAAAUUACCCUCAAAAACUCUAACCAAAUCGACCCAGUCGUGGAUCUGAUCAGCUGGAAGCUCCUGGAGCCACUUGCGGGCGGUGUCGGAGAGGAAGAGCAACAGCUGUCUAAUGAUUGCUCGAUCGUCUCCUCGAGCGCCUCCCAGCUGACAGGCCUGCCUGAAGUCUGCAAGCCACAGCUCUGGUUUGGUUUCACCGUUGUACUUUGCGAUGAUGGUCGGGGGUCGGAACGGGCUGGGCAGCGGCGUGCUGCGGAUUGCCCUGCUGAAUACCCGUGGGCCUGGUGGCUCUGGGGCUAUUCGGUCUGCAUCGCUGUCAUACCUCCCGCCGCGAUGGGCGCUGUUACCACGUUCUUCCGCAUCCCCAUACCGACGGCGACGGUUCUCUUCAAUGUCACGUCGUGCGUCAUGUCGACGUUGGUUGUCGACGGGGAGGACGAGCGUGGUCUUUUUUGCUCGAGGGGGUGGUUGCUGAUGGACCGACACCUCCUUUUCGUUUUGGGCUGGCUCAUCGCGCUUUUCAGUGGCAGCUCCUCGAUGCCGAGAAGCCAAGCUUUCGGCCUGUCGAACUGCCGCCACCUGGAGCAGAGUCUGCACCUCGUCUCGGAUGCGUCGGGCUUGGGAGUUCGACGGCUCUGGCAUGUUUCGCAGCAGCAUUGUUGCUGCCACAACGUUCUGGCCUGCUCGAGGGAAACGGCUGACGGGCUGCUCCGGCUCUGCGUCUCCGACGAUCUGUCGGUGUACCUCUCGAGCUCGUCUGCGGACACUUCCGCCAGGCGGGUAAGGCAGGUCCUGCUCGAGGAUCUGCUCAAGCAAGACAAGGCGCUCGCGAUCUUCAUCAAACUUUGCCUUGAGCUCUCGUAGCUGCGCAAUUUGUGCGGCUCUGUCUUCUUGUGGAGGGGGUCGAUCUGUCCGUCAUUCCCUGGCGUCCUGGGAUCUUCCCUUGCUGCAGGGGCUCACUAGCCUGCAACGGCGUCUUGUGUCUCGUCGGUGGUUUCCACCGCUCCGUCGAUAUGGAAGCACUCCCUAGUAGGGUCGUGGCUGUCAGAUUCUGAGCCGGAGUCCGGCUCGGCGGCGUAGAAGCAUCCGCGUCCUUCCUCCAGCAGCCGCCUCCUGAGGGAGGUAAUCGUGUACCGUCCAGGGCCCAGGCGGCGGAGGCCUUGUACCUGCGAGAAGUCUAUUAACUCGGAUGUCUGCCGCUGUGCUUCAGGGGCGCGUGGGAGGACCAUUGGUCUCUCCACGUACGUCUGGGCGUUUGGGCAUAUUGUCCUGGCGAGCGACGCCGCGGCAUUGUCCAAGCCGAACGGCAAUGCUCUUCUUGGGGUGAACAGCCCGUGUGGAAGUAGCCUGGCGGCGGGGGAGAGCACGCGGGGCGCGUCACCUCCUGUCGUCGCGUGAUCCUUGCAGUGCUGAGCCGUCAAGCUCACUAUUCCGGCGCGUGGGGCUGUCGACUCCUGCGUCACCUCCUGCCUGGCACGAACCGCCGGUCGCGAUGAGGCAGAGAGGCGACGGUGGUGCUGUCCACGCCUCUUCUUGAGUGGGGAGGCAUGGUGGCGAGGGCGUGUCGGGGCCUUUGACCGUGCUGGCGCAACACGGGCUCCUCCCGGUCCUUUGAUUGAGAGCAAAAUCAUGUCAUAGCUAGAGCCAGUAGACAUGAACUCGAGGCUCCUGAACCAAAUCACCGUGGAGCGCGGAAUCGGCGAAGCGAUAGUGGCCAUCUGGAAAGGAGUGGGAAAUCGGUGAAAAAACACACAGGACCCCUACCUGGCGCGCCAACUGUCGGUGUUUUCCCCACGGGGGGUCACACCAACAAGUGAAUUUGUAUGCGUGCUUCCGUUUCCCAGAUGGUGAUGCAAAAAGACAUAAAGAUUUAUCCUGGUUCGGGCAAGAGAAAGCCCUAUGUCCAGCGGGGGAGGAGAUUUUUUAUUAUUUUGCACCUAAGUGCUUGUACAGGGGUGAAUACAAGCGGGGUAUGGAGUGAGGCGGAGUAUGGAAGUUCUACUACGUAUGGGUGUGGUGUUACAUGAUGAUCUCGCGUUCACUCCCGGACCUCCCCUUUUAUAGUUCCAAGGAGUAGCCCGGGGUACAAGUAUAGGUAUCAGAGUAGGGGUCGAUAGAGGUAUGGCGCGCGGACCUACUCGAGGCCUCCGUACCGGCGUGGUCUCGAGCCGUCCCGUCCUGAUAGCUUGAUGAUGAUUACGCGUGCCCUGGUAUCCUGCUCUGCGUGCCGUCUUGGACUGGUUCAUUGGUGGCACGACUGUACGGUAUAGCGGCUGAUCCGUCGGAGUGGUUGCUGUGUUAACAUUCGACGUCCAACCCUUGCCCUGGAAGGAAACGGGUCUGGUCGAGGGUCGGCCGCCGUGUAGCGCCUCGCUAUCCAGAGCGUUGACCUUAGGUGUCUCGAGGGGGUCCCGAUUAGACGUUCCAUCCCUGCUUCCCACGUCCUGACAUGCUCUGGGUUGUUUGGUGGGUAUGGCUGCAAAAAGAAUGACGGGACGGGUGCCUGUUCCCUAUCACGCUUCCCGGGACUGGCGUGUUAGGUGGGAACACGACACGCGCAUUAAAUGCUCUGGUUCCCGUGCGCGCGUCAGGCGGCGGGCGGUGUCCUUGCGCUCGACGCCUCCUGGUUCGCUCGAGCUUGUUUCCGUAUUCGACGGUUGUUGGUGCUCAAGCCCUAUCCGAUUCGCUCGACGCCUUUUCCAUCUUCGAGGCUGCGGUUGUCGAUGAUUUGUACGUUUGACUGAACAGAGCCUCGAGUUGAGGGAUGUUGACACUAGCUAACACCACUUAGAUACUAGGUUGUCAUCCCUAGCAUGGCGCCAGAGUGUACAAAGGUAUUUAUAAAUGUAAAGGCUCUUUAGAAAAUAAUCUAUUCUAUCCGCAAGCGCAUAGAUAAAACACCUCAUUGUAGCAUAUCACCAGGAUAAGUAUUCCAGGUAUCGUUAUUUAUAAUUUUGCUCUAGGGAUCUAAGGAGAUAGAAUUAAAUCAAGGGACAAAAUAUAUCAAGGCAUAGACUAGAGAUAAACUUGCAAGAACAUGAUUACUAAUAAGAAACUCGUCACACAGUCACAUACUUUAGCAGGGGGUAAACCAUAAAGAUAAUGAUAAUAAAAUAUAAGUUCAUGGGAUAAAGAGCCCAGCGAUUAGAAAAUAGACUACUCCUCAUAUAUGUAGGUGAUGUCGGAUUAGCUAGAGAAUGGAUUCUAAGUUAUCUACUAACUACUAAGUCAUAAUCUACUCUAGUUAUCUACAAGAUCAUAUAUAGCAUAAAAGACUCUUCAUUCAUGUAUAAGGAACAUUGAGAAAGUAAAUCAGAACAUCGCAUGACUUACUCCACAAUACCGGUUCUGCCUGUCCUAUCAAUGGAGGGUGGACUAUAUAAGAAUCAACGAAGCUGUCACUAUCGCGAACUACCACACGACUCGGCCAAUAGGAUACAUUUGCAGAUAAAUAACAUCUAAGCACCACGCUCACAUGUGAUCUAUCACCUAACUCCCUCGCGUCAAGAGCUAAGCGCUUUGCAAACUUAUACAUAAACUCAUUAUCAAUUAGAACUAUAUCAAAUAUAGAACUAGAGCAAACUAAGAGCAUAAUAAUUAGAGACAUAAUGCAAUUAGAACAAUAGAAUUAGAGAAAGAUAUGAAUAAUACCAAUCUUUAUUACCGAAGAUCCGAAUCCAGAGCGUAGUGCUCUACUUCUCUAAUUGCUAUCUAAUCAACCUCUAAACUUGAAGGAUUAGGGAGUAGGUAAUUCUAAUUCUCUGUGGGAGAGAGAUCUAAACCCUAACAUUGAUGGCUACCUCUGAAUAAUGAUUUCUCCUCCUCUCCUCCUCUCCUCCAGGGGCCAGGGGGUCUGGUUUUAUAGUCCCCUCAAGUGAACGUGAGCCAUUGGAUCAAACCAACAUAAAUUGUUUGGUUUAGAUUGAUCCUUUAGGUCGGUGGAGUCUUGUCCCGAAGCAGAGUCCUGAUUGGCCUCUUGGCCCGGGCGGGCGCCCAAGGGGGGUGGGCGGCCGCCUAGCUCACGAGCCCGAUUCGCUUCCCGUUCGUUCCCGUGGCUUCUGGAUCCUUCUAGAUUGAGGAAAAUUGCGCGGCACGUAAUUAUCUCGUUGUAAACAUGACAUGUGGGCCUUCUCUCCAUAUUUUCUGAUAACUCCCUGCAGAAAUAGAUAAACACUAGAUGUUUGUUUCAUAUUGAUCCUUUUUCAUGUUUAUUUGAUUAUUAAUUUUAGUACUUAAGGACCGUCAACAAACUUCCCCAAGCUUACCCUUUGCUCGUCCCUGAGCAAACAGCUAAACUCAGACGGAUCAGGAGUUGCUUCGAUGUUUUCUUUCCUGACAGGCACACAUGCUUUUACAUAAAAAUUCUUCCAGAUUAGAGUGAGGUGUUAUGGAGUUUAGUACCUGCACUUAAAUCUUAAGUAAUCAAAAGACAAAAUAGUUAAGUCAAGCACUAUCCCUCCUGUCUAUACUUCACCUUUGUUCCAGAGUUUUUCAUAAGUUUUCAAAAUAAAACUCAGAGUUCCCAGCAAUGAUUCUCUCAAGUCUCUCUAUAUGUGGUAUUUGUGGAUCCUUACCAUAAUAUCACUUACCUAUAGCUAAUGGAAUAUUUAAGUGGAGCUCAUAGGAGUGAUAAACAGCUCAUACAUAUGUUGUCUAAUCGAGCCAUGGAUCCAAAGGAACUCAGCAUAUAAUUAAAUCAAGAUGUGCAUGUGUGAUGGAGUAAAUGAUAGUGAUGGUGAAAAUGCAUAAGUGAUAAUAAUAAAAUUUAGUUCUCAUUGCUCCUUAUAUUGCUAUCUCUCCUCUUCUUUGAUCUUUGCUUUGGGAGAACAUGGGCUAUCUUUUUCUUCUUCUCUUUUUUUUAAGGUGGGUAGUAGAUACCCCUAAUUCUACUGUCGGACACUUGUCCAUUUUUUCCGCUCAAGUGGGCAUCUUUGUACCCCUAAUUCUACUCCGGACACUUGUCCAUUUUUACCUCUCGUCUCACUCUUUUUCUUUCUUUUUCGAGGUUCCGGGCACUUGCCCCUUUUUAUUUCCUCGUAUAUUUUUGCAUAACCCAUGCCUCUUCUGCAUUAAAUCUUUUUAGAGAGAGAAUAACAAUAUUCGGGACAGUGAGUGAUUAUAUUUUUAGCAAUUUUAAUGAUUGGUGAUGAAUGCUGUGGUAGAUGUGUGCAAGUGAAUAUCUUAAUUUAACCACAUGAAAAGCUCCUAAGGGUCAACACAGCUCGGUCAAACUCAAUGUGAAUAUAGUAAAAGAUGUUAUAGCAAGUGUGGCUGUGGUAGGUAGUUUGCAAUGCUAGGAACUCAUCAUGUGAUUUGUAAGUUUUCAAAAUAAAUCUCUAGAACUUAGUGUAGUAGGAACAAGAUAAACAGUAGCUCAACUUUAUAUCAUGCCUUUCUCUUACCUAGACUUUAGUUUUAUGCUUCCCAAAGAUAGUAAGUUUCAGUUUUAGUAAUUCCUGGAAGAAUUCUAAUAUAAAAGCUAGGUACUUGAAAGUAAGCAAACAGAGCAACUGUUCAUCAUUUCCAUCUUGCAUAUUUUUGGUCUUUUAUUUUUUUCUAGAGAUUGAACUUAGCAGGUAAAUAAAGCACACUUAUCUACACACUCUUUUUUAUUUUGUUUUCAUGUUUAUAAAGUGCAGUAAAUUAAAGCAAGAAAAUAUUUAUUUGGUUUUCUAAGUUUUUUUUCCUUUUAAGAUAAAUUAAAUACUAAGACAGAAUAGAAUAAAUAAGAAGAGCAAAUAGAAACUUACUUGAUAAAUUGGGGAGAAACUCCCCCAAGCUGGAUGUUGACGUCGGUCUUACCUGAUGUUCCAGAACCGCAUCAUGGUUGUGAUGUUGUCGUUCAUUGUUGUUGUAUCUUGUCUCAGCUCUUCUACUGCAGCUGCAUGGUCCUGGUUCCAUUUUUGGUGCUCUUCCAGGAGUCUUCCAUGUUCUGCUUGCGUGUUUUGGAUGUCGAGGAGGGUGUUGUCGGUACGAGUGAAGAAAGCACCGGCCUCUUGGUAAUAGUCAUUCGUGAAGGCGUAGGAGGCAUCGGAGUAUCAUCCUGCAUCAACUUGGGGUGGAGGUCUGGAUCCUGAAGCUCCAUAUGGAUCAGUGGAGUACCUGCCCGUAUGAAAAGUCGGGUUUGUCCACUGGUGAUCUUGUCUCUCCGGCCAUGUCUCCUCUGUUGGCUCUUGUGGUUGCGCAUGACGAGCCCAUGGGUCUCGAAGGACUCGAGGGUUGUAAUCGCAAUAAUGCAGGUGCGCUGCUUCUUCUGGUCCAGGGUCAGCUCCAUACCAAGUGCGUUCUCGGUGAGUGGUUAUCCUUUCAGAUGCCACUCGCUGUGGAGUUCUCUGGUUCAGUGGUGUUGCUGCAAUUUCAAUCAAAAAGUUUUGCACAGAGUAGAGGCCAAGGUUCGGGUUAGGUAACCGAAUCUUGCCUUUAUCAUCAUACAGCAUAUACAUUAUGUUCCCCUCUUUCUUUAACAUCCGAGCUUGUCUAAAUGUGUCAUAGGCAUGAUAAAUUCUUAAUUCUUCUAUGAAGUCCAACGAUGAAUUUUCUAGUAAGUGAAGAUUAGAGGCUAGACGAGUGAUAAGUGAAGUACAUCCUACUGGUCCCUGAAGACUAGGUAUACUAAGCCAAUGUGAAACUAAUAGUGUAACAGGUGAAGUGGGUACUUUACUAAUAGCAGCAUAUAAAAGUUGUAAAUCUCCUACUCUUACUUUCCUAAUAUCAUCACGAUAGAAAAGAUUGUACCCAAGCCAUUUGUGAAACAUCCUAAGAGUGGGGUGUUCCAUGUCACUGGUUCGGGCUUGACUAUAAAAAUUAUCUCUAGAUAUUUCUCUCCAAAACUGGUGUCUCUCAAAGUUGGGUAAAUCGGAGUCAAUGUUCAGGAUGCAUCUUGAAGAGAAACCAAGAUGGUCGCUCAGCUCUCUCCAAGAUAACAUAAUUUCCUGUUUAAACAUCCGAAAAACAAUUCCCCCCUCAUAGUAUUGUAAGGUGCAAAGAAAUUCGAGGGUGAGAAGACGAGAACCCAGUUCGGUUAUAUUCCAAAAAUUUGUCCAACCCAUCAUUUGAAAAAUUAAGUCAAAUUCAGUGUCCAUACCUGUUUCUCGUAGUAGGAUUGGAUCGAUAGUAGGGGUGUGAAUGAAAUCUUUGUUCUUCAGUUGCUGAUAGACUUCCUUCUCUCUUCGGGUCUUCAGUCCUAGGUCUCCUAUCUUGAGAAGGACCUUAACUUGAUGACCUGAUGAAGAUGACGGAGCUUGUGUGGGUGUCGGAUCGACGCUCAUCUCUGAUGGCUGUGAGUAGUGUCGGGCGGAACUCCUUGUACCAAUGUUCUUGAGAGCCUUCCCUGCAUUCUUCACCUUCUUAAACAUCCUGCAAACAAAAGUUGGCAAAAACACAACUAGUGGAAAAUGUGAGAUAAAAUGUUAGUAGUCAGCCGUCCGGAGUGUCAGUAGUCCAGAGGUUAAUCGUUCAAGACAAGUUUCUAUUUUGGUAGAGCCUCCCCCUAAACAACUUUUACUUCCGCUUAGACAACGAGAUCACUACUUGCUAGGUGACAAUCACUCUCUCAAAAGAACUCCAACCUUCCCUUCCACUCUCCUCUUUCUCUCUACUCUCUUCUCUUCACUACAAAAGCUCCUUCUCGGGAGACUGAGAUUUAUGUGGUUUUCUGAAGUGUUUGUGUGAAGAGAAGGGAAGCUGGAGGUGGCCUUUUAUAGGCUGAGCAGGGGACAGGGCGGGCGCCCAAGGUAGGUGGGCGGGCGCCCACCCCUGGUGUCCAUCCUGGGUGUGCCUCAUCCACAUGCUUCCUUGCUUUGAUCUCACGCAGAAUAAUAUUGUGUUGGUAGCGGUUGGACGGUGGAAAGAUGUCAGGUGAGUGGAAACAUAUUGGUGGAUGAAAUUAUGUGAUGGGAUGUAUGUGAGGUGAAGUGUAUGACAUGUGGGACCCAAGGAGUGUGGGUCAUGCUUCUAGAAGAUCAAUAUAAAUAAAUAUAAUGCAAGAAAAUCUAUGAGAAUUGAAACUUAAUGAUAAUGGGAAAUAUUUUUGUGCCUCCAAAAUAAUUAAUAAAUAUGGGUUGUUACACACCACGAAUAUUAUUUAUAUGGGGCUUUUUGAUUAUUAUAAUUAUGCUAUGAAUAUAUAUGACUAAUGCAAGAUUUAACUAUGCAAGAAUUUAAAUAUGAGAAACUUAAUAAUGCGGGUAAAUACCGAUUUACCUCCCGGUGAGGGUUUGGGAUUUUUUAGGUCCCCCAAGCUAGACCUCCAAAUCUUUUAAUCUUCUUAGUUACCUUCCUCCGGAGAUGGUGUCUUCAGUAGUUCUUCAUGUUCUUCAUGAACUUCCUUCACUGUAGAGUCUCUCUCUGGUCUGGGUUUGAAUGUGAAGUGUUCUUCUUGUCCGUUUAUGUUGAACUUGAUUUCUCCCUUCCCAACAUCAAUGUGGGCAUUGGCAGUGCUCAGAAAUGGCCUUCCAAGGAUGAUGGACACUUUCGAGUCAGGACUCAUGUCCAGUACUACGAAGUCUACUGGCACCAGGAAAUCUCUGAUCUUGACUGGAAUGUUCUCGACGAUGCCCAACGGGUGUCGAACCGAUUGAUCCGCUAGUUGUAGGCACAUUGAUGUUGGUUCUAAGGUUGCAUGAUCAAGCUUUUUGUAGACUGAUGCUGGCAUCACACUGACACUUGCUCCGAGAUCACAAAGUGCAUUGUUGAAGUGUUGGUUUCCAAUCGAGCAAUCAAUAGUGGGGCAUCCUGGAUCUUCCUUCUUCUUUGGUGGUUUGUUGAGGAUGGCCGCACUACAUUCUUCUGUCAGCUUGAUAACCUCAGUGGUGGGCAGUUGUCUCUUCUUGUUAAGAAUAUCUCUGAUGUACUUUGCAUAUGUAGGUACCUGUAUGGCAUCGAGCAGAGGUAUGUUGACAUAUAAUUUCUGAAUGACCUCUACAAACUUACCAAACUGCUCAUCCGACUGCAUUCCUCUGUUUCUUCUGGGAAAUGGCAAAUAGUUGGUGUCGUAAAAAUCUUUCCUCAUUUCUCCAUUUCUUGGUAGUUGUAGCAGAUCUUCUGCUUCAACUGGGCUUUCUUCUUCUAUCACUGCUGGUUGCACUGGUGCUGAUGUUCUUUGUUUCUCUUUUGGGUAUGGUGGAUCUCUAGUGGCUUUGCCUCCUCUAGUAGUUAUAUUCUUUACCUGCUCAAGGUUAGUAGCAACAGGCAGUGCAGCAGCUAUCUUUAUUAAUUUAAGCUCUACCUUUUUAUUAAGAGUGUUUUGCUCAUCAAAGGCAGUUAGUAAAAAAUCCAUUUUAUUGUGUAUAUCUUUUAGAGACGAUUCAUUUGUAUCUAGCCUUUGUUUAACUUCAUCAUUUAUUUUGGUUUGUUGAGCAAUUAUCUCUUUUAAUGAAAGUUGCUUGAUAGUAUUACCUGAAUUCAUACCUUUGCUAUUGGGUUGACUCGAAGUUGGUUGAUAUUUGUAUGCUGUCUCAAUGGCCCUUUGAUCUUCUUUGAACUUGGCCCUCUGGUCAAUCCAAUGGAGCAAAUUUUCCAUCUUAGUUGAUAAUGCAUUUACUUCUUCUGGUAUUUCUUCAGUUUGAUGACAUUGUUGAGCUUUAUCUUGGAACCAGCUUUGGUUUUCUGCUAUCUUAUCCAAAAGUAUCUCUGCUUUUCCAGUUGUAAGCUCCAAGAAUGAUCCUUUAGCAGAUGCAUCUAGGCACUCACGAGUCUUAUGGGUUAAUCCAUGAUAGAAGGUCUGCAUAAGUAACCAUGUAGCCAUUCCAUGGUGAGGACAAUAUGAUAUGUAUCCUUGAAAACGCUCCCAUGCUUCUGAAAUGGCUUCUGUCUUCUGCUGUUGGAAACUGACAAUAUUUCCUCUUAAGGCAGUUGUUUUGCCUAUAGGGAAAAACUUUGAUAGGAAGGCAUCUGACAAGUUCGUCCAGUUGUUGAUGUUAUCUUGAUGAGUGUAGAACCACUUCCUCGCUUUCCCUUCUAGUGAGAAUGGAAAAAGGCGAAGUAGUAUGACGUCUUUGUCAACUCCGUUGAUGUGGAUUGUGCUUCCAAUUUCUAAGAAAUUCUGCAAGUGUGCACUAGCAUCUUCAUGUGCAUUUCCACUGAAUUGUUUAGCUUGUACCAAAUUGAUGAGGCUUGACUUGAGCUCAAACUCGGGUAUUCCUUCUUCUACUGCAAAUCUUGGACCGGUUGGAAUGUUCUCAAGACUUGGAGCAGAGAAUUCUUGCAAGGUCUUGUGUGUCAUAGCUUCAACAAUUGGUAGCUAGCUUCUUCUUCUCUUGAUUGCUUUGGUUCUGAUGAUGAAGAGUUAAAUGUACCCAGAGUCAAUCCUGUUAUACCCUGUAUAAAAAUAUAAACAUAGAAAAACAACAGGGUGAACCUGCCAAAGCAGAGGUGCCUUGUUAUGAUUUCUCACUUAGUAGCUGUUUUAUGCAAUUAUUUCUCUAUAGUCUAGUCUAAUAUUUUAUAUGAAUAACCUUGACUGAUUUUCUGGCUUCCUUAAUAUUACCCUUUUGUUCCCUUUUAUGACUUAUUCCUGAGAUUCGUAUAAUUCCUAUAAGUUCCCCGGCAACGGCGCCAGAAAUGCUUGUUGACACUAGCUAACACCACUUAGAUACUAGGUUGUCAUCCCUAGCAUGGCGCCAGAGUGUACAAAGGUAUUUAUAAAUGUAAAGGCUCUUUAGAAAAUAAUCUAUUCUAUCCGCAAGCGCACAGAUAAAACACCUCAUUGUAGCAUUUCACCAGGAUAAGUAUUCCAGGUAUCGUUAUUUAUAAUUUUGCUCUAGGGAUCUAAGGAGAUGGAAUUAAAUCAAGGGACAAAAUCUAUCAAGGCAUAGACUAGAGAUAAACUUGCAAGAACAUGAUUACUAAUAAGAAACUCGUCACACAGUCACAUACUUUAGCAGGGGUAAACCAUAAAGAUAAUGAUAAUAAAAUAUAAGUUCAUGGGAUAAAGAGCACAGCGAUUAGAAAAUAGACUACUCCUCAUAUAUGUAGGUGAUGUCGGAUUAGCUAGAGAAUGGAUUCUAAGUUAUCUACUAACUACUAAGUCAUAAUCUACUCUAGUUAUCUACAAGAUCAUAUAUAGCAUGAAAGACUCUUCAUUCAUGUAUAAGGAACAUUGAUAAAGUAAAUCAGUACAUCGCAUGACUUACUCCACAAUACCGGUUGUGCCUGUCCUAUCAACGGAGGGUGGACUAUAUAAGAAUCAACGAAGCUGUCACUAUCGCGAACUACCACACGACUCGGCCAAUAGGAUACAUUUGCAGAUAAAUAACAUCUAAGCACCACGCUCACAUGUGAUCUAUCACCUAACUCCCUCGCGUCAAGAGCUAAGCGCUUUGCAAACUUAUACAUAAACUCAUUAUCAAUUAGAACUAUAUCAAAUAUAGAACUAGAGCAAACCAAGAGCAUAAUAAUUAGAGACAUAAUGCAAUUAGAACAAUAGAAUUAGAGAAAGAUAUGAAUAAUACCAAUCUUUAUUACCGAAGAUCCGAAUCCAGAGCGUAGUGCUCUACUUCUCUAAUUGCUAUCUAAUCAACCUCUAAACUUGAAGGAUUAGGGAGUAGCUAAUUCUAAUUCUCUGUGGGAGAGAGAUCUAAACCCUAACUUUGAUGGCUACCUCUGAAUAAUGAUUUCUCCUCCUCUCCUCCUCUCCUCCAGGCGCCAGGGGGUCUGGUUUUAUAGUCCCCUCAAGUGAACGUGAGCCAUUGGAUCAAACCAACAUAAAUUGUAUGGUUUAGAUUGAUCCUUUAGGUUGGUGGAGUCUUGUCCCGAAGCAGAGUCCUGAUUGGCCUCUUGGCCAGGGCGGGCGCCCAAGGGGGGUGGGCGGCCGCCCAGCUCCCGAGCCCGAUUCGCUUCCCGUUCGUUCCCGUGGCUUCUGGAUCCUUCUAGAUUGAGGAAAAUUGCACGGCACGUAAUUAUCUCGUUGUAAACAUGACAUGUGGGCCUUCUCUCCAUAUUUUCUGAUAACUCCCUACAGAAAUAGAUAAACACCAAAGCUCGUGGAAUUCUGUCAGAUAAAACCCUAAUUCUAGAUGUUUGUUUCAUAUUGAUCCUUUUUCACGUUUAUUUGAUUAUUAAUUUUAGUACUUAAGGACCGUCAACAAGGGCCUCGACCUGCGUAUGGUCAAUCUCGUUAUGUACAUCAGUUAGGAUACCCCUUACUGAUACCCUCGACAGUAUCAAAUGCUUGAUCUAAGUCUAGGUAGUUGAUGGAUAAGAUAUGGGGAGGUUUUAAGCUACUAUCAGUCUUGCUCCUUGAGAUGCUAGAGUUCUCGAGAAUUUGAGUCAUGAGGAGGAAAGACCAACUCCUAUAGCUGAUCCAACCAAAUUCUUCAUCGCUCUACAUGUUGGUUUGCAAUCUCUAAAUUAGAUAAUUUUGAGUUGAUUCACAAUGCCUAUAUUUUAGAAUCAAAACAUAAGAUAAAGUCAAUCCUUUAGGAAGAAGUAAUUGUGAAUAAUAAAUGUGCUAUGCUAAGUAUGUUGAAGCAAGUUAUUUCUUGUAGCAUAGAAAUUGACCAUUAGCUGUGUUACAACAAUGCCCUUGUCAUUACAUGUAUAUUCCAUUGGGUAUGUGUUGUCCACUAAUGAUUUGUAGGGAUAAAAUAAUAAGAAGAGCUAAAGGUCCAUGCACAAACUAGAUAAACAAAUAAGGGCAUAAGGUAAAAAAGGAGUACAACAAAGGAGAGCGGCUGUCCAUGGCACAUGAUUAGCCAAGCAAGGGAUGCUUCCACGAGAUGUUAUGGCUUCAACAUGCUUUAAUAAUAAAGGUAACAUCUCUUGGUAAGUGAUCAUUGCUUCAAAAAUAUCCCCAUUGUUUCUGGCAUGCAGAUAAGAAGAGAGCCAAACAUGUAUUGAGUUACAACCUCAUUAAAUCCAAUCUAAUUAACUCAAUAUGUUCAGUUCUUUAUGCUUGUUCUUAGCGUCACUUUUUGGGUCUCAUAGAUUUUAAUUCAAUGAUGUGAAAUGUUGCACAUCCUAUCUUUGGAAGAUGAUAGUCUUGACCAUGAAGUUAUAUGCAUAGGUAGACUAUCCUUCCAUAAGGUUGAGUAAUCUGAUCUCCCAAAUGUAUUUAAUGCCACAUUUCUACUCAUUGCUUGAUGCUAUUGCCCAAUUUUAGAUAGAGCAUAACACAUGAAUAACAACUUUAUCUCGUUCAAUGUGCCUAAUGUUAGGGAAUAAUGAACAAACCUUUUUGGUUCUGUUAGUGUUUUCCCACCAAUGGAACCCAAGCACUUGAUCUCUACCUUGUUUCUAUGAGCAGGGCACAUUUUAGUCAACUCAUUAAGAAUCCUACAAAGUGAAGAUCCUAGACCUAUGAACAUGCACACUGAGUGAAGAUGCCACUAGCUCCUAGAACUAGUACUUGACUCCAACCUAUUGGAAGAGCAAUAAACAUGGGUGAUAUCAUCUUAAGAGGUGCAACUAUCAUGGUCUCUACCUUUGGGACCAGAUAAAGCACCUAAGGAAUUAACAUGGUAAGAGGUCAUGUUUGGAGGACCUAAAACAGCGAACACCGUGCCAAGAGAUAACUUGGUAGUUAUCAACAUUUCCGUUUUUAUUACUAUAGAAUUUUUCUUUAGCAUAUUUACUUUCCCUUAAAUACAUAAUUAGUUGCAUAUCUACUUUACCAUUUCAGCAUUAGAAAAAGAAAAUAUAAAUAUGUCAUGGAUUGCAUCUAGAAAAUGCUAAGCCCCAUGUAUUUAAUGUGUGAUGCACUUGCCCACACACUCAUCUACUAUGGUGGCAUAAAAAUAAAUUUCUGCAUAUUUAUUUUCUUGUCUGCAUACCAUGAAUAUAAAAAGUAUAAAAAUAUAUUGAUCCUGCUAGAAGAUAAAUGGGUAUAAGGAAGUUUUAGACUCCUAAGUCUUAAAGGUUUAUUACUAACGCUUAAUCAGAUGCACAAGCUUUGUUGUCUAUUUGAGCUUCAAAGUCUUCCAAGGAUAAAAAAUAACUAGCAGGCAAAAGAACGUCCUGUCCGCUGUUGGAGUACUGUUCACAGAAGGCAAGUGAUGUUUCUAACAGCAAGUUACCCAAGACACUCUUGGAGGAUCAGUACGCCUUCACUGCCUGUAAGCGACAUCAGCAGACUAUGUCAACAUCCAACUUGGGGGAGAGCAACCCCCAUAUACCGAGAUAAGUAUCUCUUACUUAUCCAUUUAUUUCUAGUGCAUUUAUGAAAAGAUAAAAAGAUGAAUAAUCUUAGAAACCCAAUAAAUAUUUUAUCUUUCAUAAUUAGUUUUUGCUAAGGAGAGCUCUUAAUGAAUCUAUUAAAAUGAAUCUCUAGAAUAAACUCUUAUACGGAAAUGAUGAAUUGUUGUUAUGCCAUAAUUCCUUGCAAAUACCUAGUUUUCAAUCUUGUACUCUCUUGAGUUUUAGACACAACUAUUUAGACUUAAGAUUUUGCUCUGAGCCUGAAACUUGUGGGUAUCAAAUGCUUGAUCUAAGACUAGGUAGUUGAUGGAUAUGAUAUGGGGAGGUUUUAAGCUGCUAUCAGUCUUGCUCCUAGAGAUGCUAGAGUUCUCGAGAAUUUUAUUUUGAAAUUCUUAUAUGGCUACAUGAGGAGAUCUUUUAUGUCGAGAGUUUAAAAUUCAUACCAAAGCCAAAUACUCAUGCUUACUAAAUUAAAAUAGUCUCCCACGUAUAUUUCAACCUAUAAGCAUUGAGGGUAGUUAAGCUGCGUAGACCCUAAAGAACUAGUCAUGCAGUUAAAGUCGAUAUUAUGUGCUGUCCAUCCAUUGACCUUAGCUACUUCUGUCCCCAGAAGUAUGCAACCACUUACUUCCACUAUGUCCACUAUGUGCUACUUCUAUUCCUCGGAGUACCACCCACAUAUACACACUACACUCUGUGUUGUUUCUACCCUAGAGACAUGCACCUAUGAAGCUCCAACCUUGGGAGUACGCAUUCAUUCACCCAUACACAUUCCACAUCCACUUAGAAAAUGUUCUACUCCUACACUGGGAGAAGACACCCAAAAAUAUUCAAUGUCUUAUUCUACUUAUCCAAUAAAGCUACAGAUAAUUCAUUUGAUAUUCCCUACUGUUAUCAGUGCAUUAAAAGGGUUGGCUGAUCUCUAAAAACAGAUAGAAAAAAGAAAGAGGACAAAAAGUCCCAAUUCAAAAGAAAAGAAAGACAGCUAAGUCCUUGUUCUCAUAUUAGGAAGGUAUGUUAUCCACAAGGAGCAAAUGUAGGAUUAGAUAUUCACCAGCAAUCAUCACCCCUCAUUUUUUAUCAUUCUUAUCAUUUACUACACUCACAAGCACAUAUGAUUUGAUUGUAUAAUUAGUUUCUCUGGAUCCAUGCUUUAACUAUGCAAUACAUGCAAGUAGGUUUGAAUUGUCUUUUCCCACCUAUGAGCUCCACAUAAGCAAAUUAGAAGUAGGAUGAGAGAGAGAAGGCAGUUAUGUCGUAGUGAUAUAAAUACCAUAUUCUGAGAGAAGGCAUAGUCAAUUGCCUUGGAGAGGAUCCAAAAAUAUUACAUAUGAGCAAAAGGUAAGCUUGGGGGAGUUUGUUGAUGGUCACUAAUGCACUUUUUUAUCCAUCAAUUAUUUCUUGAUAUGACAUGAUAUGAACUACAAAGCAUAGUUGUAGGGUUUGAAACUAACAAGCUCGAUGAGUUUUGGUGAAUCUAUGUUUUAUAGGGGUUAAAAUGGAAAUGGACCAGAAUCACCAAACAGAAGUAACUUAAGUGAUGAAUUGGAGAACACCAUUGUGAAGAGCUCGUCAAGACAUAUGAAAUAGAGUUUUGAUUCACCCAAAUUGGAGUCCAUAUGACAAAGUUACGCCUUCCAAAAGAUUGCAAAUGGGCUUCUAGAGCAUUCCAGAUUAAAUUGGGCAUAUCUCCCUCAUUCGGACUCUGUUUUCUGUGAUCCAAUGUUUUUUGGAAAGCUAAUGAAAAGAUCUAUCAACCCUAAAAAGUGGGUCCAAUUGGUAGAGACCAAGGGGCAGGCGCCCGCGUGUCAAGGGCACCCACCCGGCGAGCUGGACCAGUGAGGGUGAACCUUGCGGAUCCUGGCUCCACCGCCUUUGAGGAGUAAUAUUGAGCGUAUAUUUAAUUCCCUUUGAUUUGAGGGCUAUGGUGCUUCCUAGGGGGCUAUAAAUACAUGCCUGACCCCCCUUAGGGCAUCUCCUUCAUCUUCUUCAUUAGCUACAUCCAGAGCAAAAACUAGGAUUUCAUCAAGUAGAGAAGUAGAGGUCCCUCUAGUUCAUCUAGUUCUAGUUCUAGUUAAUCUAGUACUAGUUCUAGUUGUCUAGUUGUAUCUAGAUUAGAGGGAGGAGAAGAGGAGAGAGCCAAGGAGGAGCUGGAUCUAUCGGAUCUUCCUCAACAUUAUAUAUUCGCAGCAGCCAGUUCGUCUUUGGUUAAUCUCUAGGUACUUCAAUUUAUAAUUCCAAAGUUCUUUAUUUAAUCUUCAUAUUUACUUUUAAGUUAUUUAUUGGAUUCCUGUCUACAUCGAGUGCUCUAGUUCUUAGCGGUGCUAGAGUAGUAAUUUAUAGGUUAAGCGUGGUACUUAGUUUUGCAAUUACCUAGAAUUGUACCAAAUCCAAUGUAUUGUUGUGGUAGCGCUAGGAUCACAACAAUCAUGACGGCCAACGCAUUCCACCAUGUUCACAUUGAUGUUGUAGGACUGUAGUUAGAGCUUCCUAGCCUCCAUCUCAUCUUUUUAUAUGGUUUGUGUUCUGAUGUCCCAUGAUAAGUAACCUUAGAGUAAAUCCUGAUUCCUAGAUCAACCUAUAGAACUCUUAGGAAAAUUCUUCUCUACCCUACAAAAUUAUAUAUAUAGUUAUCCUUGGGUGAUCUAAAACUCAACUAGUACACUUCACGUUCCCCGUGGAAAAUCGAUACCUUGGAAUACUUCCGGGUGAAAGCUACUUCGGUAUCCGUGCGCUCACGGAAUUUUCUAUGUGCAUUUAAAUACCCAACACUCUCCUUCUAUGGCAUCACUUGACAUGCCAUCCUUGAGUCUUUCUAGUUGCCCUUCAAAGGGAUUGGAUUUGAAAAGCUUCCUAAGAAAUCUCUUUUGAAGAUUCAAACUAUAAGCACUAAAACAUCUCUUAUGAAGCGUGAAGUUUAAACUCCUCCCAAAAACUUUUUGAUGGUGAAUUUGGAGUACUACUUGUUUGGGAUGGAUAGCCAAAUCAUGGGAUUGGAAUAUUUGCAAAAUGGGUAUAAAAACUUCCACUUCUAGUUUGGGGAAUGAUUCCUUCUCUCCUUCUAGAAUUUCAUCAUGAAGGCUAGUGCAAGGAGUGUGCCCACUAAUAAGGACAACCCUCACCUCACUAAUGGGUAGAGAAAGGAAAACCCCUCCAAAGGUGAUAUUAUCAUGACCCAUAUAAAAAUGUUGGACAAGGAUAGGGUCUUGUAAGGGUAGGUCUAAACCUAUAUUUAUAGGACGAUUAAAAGAUUCCCUAAGUGUAGCCAAAAGUUCAUUACCGAUUAGAUGAGAAGAUAUGGCUUUCGCUAUAGAAGAGGGUUGGUUUUGACCUAUUGCAACCAAACAUGAGCAUAGCUCAUAGCUAGAUGUGAAAAUCAUGGGCUCUAGUGGCUCUAAGCUUGUGCUCAUGGGUGCAACAUAUUGAUAAAUGGGUGUGGAAUUUAGGUUAUUGUUGGAAAGAAGUGAUAAAAUAAAAAGGUGGUAAAUGAAAAGAAAACUUGGAUGAACUUGGUUUCAUUCUAGAAUAGCUACCAUUUCCCAAGAACAGCGCUAGCAAACUUAUUAUGUAUUUUAAACACAUAGUAAAAUCCGCAAGCGCACGGAUACCGAUGUAGCUUUCACCUAGGAGUAUUCCAAGGUAUCGAUUUUCCACGGGGAACGCGAAGUGUACUAGUUAAGAUUUAGAUCACUCAAGGAUAAAUAUAUUUAUAAUUUUGUAGGGUAUAGAGGUGUUGAUACUGUUUUUAGGUAUGAGUCAAGAUGGUUAAGGAGAAUUGAUCGGUAGUGGGGAGGUUGCUGUGCUAGAUCGACAGAAGAGUGCUGAUAGCCGAUAUGGAUGAUGUCGAUGAUGCAAUGAUGACUACUUGUUGUUGUUGAUGAGACUUAAGGUCGCCGAUGCCGAUGGAGGAAAUUAUGAAAAGUUUUGCAGAGGCAUAUAUGCGCCGAUGGGACGAAAGCCAAUGAAGACUUGAAACAAAAUCCGAGGAAGACUUGAAGCAGGAAUCAUUGAAGACUUUAUCAUAGUUAGGAGGGACAUCGGAAUAGAUAAUUAUUAUUUCUUUUUCCAUAAUUGUCUAGAUAGGCCUUAUAUGUAAGAGUCUUGUUUACUUCAGUUGAAUCUUAGUCGUGUUCGAUUGAAACUCUUAGGGGCUAGGGUACAAAUAUAAACCCAACGACAAUGUAAUAAGGAGUCAAUCAAUCAAUACCAAAACACAAGUUUUACAUCUACAUUUACACCUAGUUUUCGAUGACUUCGUCAACUCGCAUACUUUUUCUGUUUACGAGUUCUCAAGGAUUCAAAGCGAGUCACACUUGAUGAUUGCUCGAGUUCCACGUAAGUACCUCUUGGUCGUGACAUCCGGGUGCAUCGAUGUUGUCAGGACCUAAGUAUUCAAGUUAGAACCUAUGUCGAUUGCUAUGUCAAAUCGGCUGGCACGCCUUGACAUGAAAAUUGGGUAUUAGCCUUUAUGUUUGUAGAUCUAUUUUUGCAUCAACACAUCUUUUGGCACGCGCGGUGGGACUCACCAUUAACAAUGUUCAACAUGGCUACUUCUGAUCUCAACACGGACAGCGUCAUCGGUGUGACAGAAGCCGAUCUCACAGAAUAACAAAAGCAAGCUAUGGAGAGGGCUAUGGAGGAAUACAGAUAGCUCCUUUGAAAUCCUUCAGCGUGAACAGGAGUGGAGAAGUUAUCCAGAAACAAGAUCUACCAUUGCCUCGGCAGGUUACCUUUGUUCCCAAUUCUGGUAAAUUGCAAGACAUGGUUAAUACUACAAUAAUCAUGCUUUGAUUAAUCACUCUAAUGUGUUGUCCAAUACUGUUUACAAUGUUGUGGUCCAAACUUUCAAAGAACGAUAGACACCACAACUUUAUGCUAGCCUGGCCUAUCAUCAGCCAGGAUUAUCAUCGGUUGUGGCUCCGUCUGCUCCUUCAGCCAUCGCGGGUACAGAGGUUACUUCCCCUCCAAGCACAGCGGGAUUGGUUAAUGAGCAAUCUACACCGAUGAGAUCUAAUCCAAUGACUUCAGGGGGAUGGGUCCAGCUCAACACAGAUCUAUCGGCAUCGGCUAUGUUAGGGUCUGUAUAUCAGAACUGUCAGGUUCCUCUCAACUGGUGGGGAUAUGGUAUGUCUCCAAAGUUUUUCGCACAUAGUUCUAGCACAUCUCAGAUAACUAACUUAGCAGGGAAGACUCCCAUGCCAUCAGUGCCUCUAGUCUCACCGAUGACUCAGGUACCCCAGUAUUCCACAACAACUACUGCAAAGCCAAUUCCUUGGAAUUUUCAGAUGUCAACGUUCCAGAUGCCUAAUGCAAGCUCAUCGACAAAUCCAUUGCCGAUGCAAUAGAGGUUUAUAUCUCAGGUGGGUUAUGUCAAUCCAUCAAUGACAACUAAUUAGCAGCCAUCGAUAGAUCUUGCGCCGAUGAAUGCCAACAGUGGUUGGACAGGGUAGUGGGUCUUUCCACACACGGCGCAAUAGAAUCAUCAGGUUGUAGGAAUACAACAGGGUCGUAUGCAGGCCGGCUUUCAUAAUCAGGCACUGGCAAUUCAAUCAACGAAUCUUGCUUAGCAAAUCGGUGGUCCACGAGCUAUGGCUAAUAUGAUGCUUGCUGAAAAUCGUGUGCCCCAUAGACACGUGGAAGCAUAUCAACAGGUACCAGAAGUUCAACCGGUACAUCGGUAAGAUGCCGAUGCCUAUUGGGCUGAUAAGAAAGCAAACGUUAUGAGAGGUCAGUUUGGAAUAAAACCCAAGGUUAAUACUUACUCUUAUCGUACGCCAUAUCCUCCUUCAUAUGAUUUAAUUCCACUCCCAAAUCGGUAUAAAGUACCAGACUUUACUAAAUUCUCUGGACAAGAUGACACCUCAACCAUGGAGCAUGUCAAUCGGUUCAUCAUUCAACGUGGAGAGGCUGCCAACAGAGAUGAAUUAAGGGUUCGCUUAUUUUCAUCAUCCUUGUCGAGAUCAACUUUUACCUGGUUUAUUUCAUUACCUCCAAAUUCAGUCAUUACCUAGGCCGAUAUAGCGAAACAAUUUCAUAAGUGUAACAGAACCAUCCAAUUUAUAAGAAUUCAAGUGAAUUAGCGACCACAAAGUAGUCAAGCCAAUGGACUUGAACCCAUAUAAACCCGGUAGUCCGACGAAAUCUCGGAAGACCUCGAUUCAACCAACAUACAACCAAGAUCGUACAUGAUCAAGCAUCACCAUCACAGAUUACAUCCAUUCGUCACAGAACAUAGUUUUACAACACAUCAGAGUUUAAAAGAGGUUAUUACAAACCAGAUUAGUAGCGGAAACAAAGUAGUUUUAGAACAUCACACACUCAGUUUAAAUUACAUGCCAGCUCCAUGGUCAAACCCAACAAAAGCACAGCUGAAGAUAGAGAACGUGAUCACGCCCAUGAUCUACUCAUCGUCCGUAGCCGGAUGAUGACAGUUAGCACAAUAGUUGUGAUAAACAACAUCAUCUGCAACAGGGGUAAAUAAAACCCUGUGUACGAGAAGGUACUCAGCUAGACUUACCCGUCAUAAACCAGAAAUAAAGUGACACCAAGGAGUAUGCAAGGCUGAUCUUUGUGGACUGGUUUGACUCACCUUUUUGCAUAAAAAGCCUUUGUUGUAAGUAACUCAUUUAUAAUAUUUCAGUAGCAGGUUCAUUACUUAACAACUAUCCACUAGAUUAGCACCUGUUCUAAGCAUACACUUGAGUAUUUAAGCAUCACAAUAAUAACCAUAUCCGGAUUAUCACAUAGCUAUCAACUUUCUCAUCAUAACCAUUAAGUUUAUUUAGUGAGUUCUACGUUGACACUGCCCGAGUCAAGUUCUCACUAUCCGGGAGAGACGGCGAUUCGAAUCGAUUCCUAUCCAGCUGGAGGGGCAUUCCUAGCACUCACCCAAGCAUACUUCAUGAGGGCAGCUCGGAUCACCUUUAGCACAACUCCGGACCAAUUCGCGGGUCCGUCCAGCGCCGCACCCCCAGGGACCGCCAAUGUGCCAGGUCAGGACUCUAACCUGACUCCUCAAACUUAUGCCAUUGACUCCCCGCACAUACUUACUACCAACCGGGGUGCGCACUCAUACAGAACGGGGUAUCCGGCCAGCUAAGUGUUAGGCAUGCGUUCAACAUGACACGAGGACGCACAACGAAUCAGUCCUUAACCGACACGGACGGGGAUAGAUUCAUACCCAAGACCUCCAUGCCUUGCUGCUGCACUAUCAUCAUCCCACCCGGACUCAAGUUCAUUAUUAGCACAUGGUUAUUUCCAUGAUAGCAGAUAUAGCCAACCGUGAGGAAGUAUCCACCUAUCUCUCGCAGGUGACAGAAAAUCACCCGGCUUCUACCGAGCUAAGCAUGGCUAAGCAUCAUUCGAUCCUGGACCUACUUAGGUAAGGUAUGAGGUGGACAAGGUAAUCGUUAUGCAGCAAGGGUGUCAUAUCAAUGCCUAACACUUAAUGCAACAAAACAUAACCAUAGUCAAUUGAUAGCUGGACAUGGUAACAAAAUAGUAGGUGGCUUAUAAUGCUCCGGGGCUUGCCUUCGACGUAGGUGGACGGGCGGUGGUCGGGACACUCCAGUAGGUCCUCCUCAGCUCCUUGAGAUGGCUCCUCUUGCGGUUCCUCCGGCCCGGGUAGCUCGUACUCCAAUACCAUCACUACCUUGGGUACACCUAUGUAUGCAUGAUAAGGUGAUAAACAUAGGGAAUGCACAUAAAAUGCAAUAUGUCAUGAUGCUGAGCCAAGGAACACAUAACAAGGUAUAACAUGGUUAUAAACUCCAAAAUUAAGUGAAUCAUAGAAUAACAAGUAAGUGCAAACUUCUUCUCUGGUAGAGAGGCUAACUAGACAAGUUAAUCAACCUUAGCUACUCCAACUUAGUAACUGGUUCCAUAGACAGACCAACUAGUCACAAGUUUCAGCUAUAACUUAAGCAUCAGUUGGCCAAACUAAGCAAGUAGAUACUUUCUGGAAAGAUUAUCAAAUUGUCUACAAAACAGCUUUAGACACUUCAGAAAGAUUCCCAAAGAAACAGGGUGAAACAGACAAAGUGUGCUGGCUGUUCUGGAAAUUCCAGAGAGCAAGCACUUCGCAGCAACUACUUGCAACCUUCAUAACUUUCAAACUACUCAACCAAAUGUCAUGAAAUUUGAACACGAAGUAGAUAAGUAAGUUAGCUACAAGUUUGUUAUAGACAAGUUUUCCAGAAAACAUCAUCUUCAAGUAUUUCUUAAAUAAUUUCUAUCAACUACACAGAAAUGCUCUAGGAAAGGCAUAAAUAGCAAAAAUAAUAUUUUACACAUAUUAAGAAUGUAGCAUUGGUUUAAACCAAAUAUACCAGUGGAUAGAACAUGUCUAAGAUACACCAGAAAACAUCAUGGCAAGGUCUAAAUCCAUUUCUAUUAUCACCUUUCCUAUUUAUUUAAUUAUUAGGGUGAUUUAAUGAACAUAUACCACAAGUGCUCCAAAAAUCCUAAGAAAAUUAGAGCAAGCAAUUUAUACUCUCAUAAGUUUACUGUAAAAUUGUCAGGGCAUUUGCACAUGCAGAUUGUGAGCUACAAAACUAACAAGCUAGCAAGGGCAUGCAAGGCAUAAAUGUGAAACCCUAUCAAAUAGUGUCAAACAACAGAUUUCAGAUUUUUCCUAGCUUUGUUUACACAUGAGUACAACACUCAGCAAGUUUCACCAUAAAAGGAGUUAUAAUCUAUUUACUAAAAAUACCACAAGAAACUCCUAUUUACACAAGAAAUAUUUAUAACUUCACAAUCAGUCCUCCAAAAAUCAUGAUAAAUUUAUCAGAGCCUAUUCAUGACAUAAGUGACAACACCCUAAAUUUGCAUGGCCACCAGAGCAACAGAUCUCAAGUUAUAAUUACCUCCUAUUUAAUCAAGAUUAAAUCAUAUCUAUUUAUUCCUGCAAAAACAUGGCAUGUUCCAUAUUUUUAAUAAAAACUAGAUUAAUAUAAGAACCUAGCCAAAUUGGAACCACACCAUUUGGAUCUGUAAAACUCAAGAUAUGAAUUUUUCAAAAACAGCAAAGGAUCUGCUACACAGUGACCAGAGAUGUGAGAGAGAGACUGACAGGUGGGAUCCGCUGACACACGGGACCCACUCGACAGAGAGACAGAGACAGGGAGACGCUCGUCGCCGGUGAAACUCGACGAUGGCGAGAUCUCGGUUGGAUCCAAGGGCAUCUACGUGUUCCUCUCCUCAAGGCAAACUUGUUGACCUACAUUACCCAUGCUCUACUAGACUGUGGGGUGCUCGCCGUCGCGAAUGGCGGAGCGGCGGCGCUGCGCGGCGUUACGCCGGCGAACCUAGGCAACGGCGACGCGGUAGAGGUUGCGGACGAGCAAGAGCGACUCAAGGCGAAGCUAUAGGAAGAAGAAUCAUGGCCAGAGGUGAACCAGAGAGGUCUGGCCACGUUGCCGGUGAUCUGUGUGAACUCCGGCGAGGUGGAGCUCGCGACGGAGUUGGCAAUGCGGCCUCACCGGUGCUCGGCUAAGGGAAAGAAGUGGACGCCGAGGUAGAGGACGUCGAGGCGGAGCUCUGGGCGGACUAGCUUGGCCGAAGACGCGGUGGAGUGGCCCGGAGAGCUCGUCGAAGCGCGGUGGAGCAUGCCGAGGCGAUGGCGGAGCGAAAUAGAGCGCUCUGAGCGAGUGGAGGUCGCGUCUGAGGCGUCCCCACUCGGUGUGUGGCGACUUGAGGACGCCGUGGGAGCUGACAGGAGGGACCGUCGAUGGUGUACGGCCGACAGGUGGCCGAACACGCGGCGGCGGGUGAACUCUGCCCAAACUGAAACGUUCACUGAAUCGCUCGAUCACAGUGAUGAAACCCGAUCUUCAACAACGUUUUACUCUCAGCUCACUCGAUGGUUUUGGCUUGGAUUUCAUCCUUUGGAUAGAGCUACACGAGUUCUACAAGUUUGCUUAAAGGAUCGAAGACUUGUUCGGCUUGGAUUUCAAACUACAACGCUCCCAAAUACCCUACCUCGAAACUGUGUCGACUCUGACUUAGGCAAAUUUGGCUAAGUGUAAAAUCAGCCCUGAUUUUUGCUUUGUGAGCAAAUUUUGAAUGUGUUCCAAGCUUUUUCAUAAAAAGUCGUCAACAUAACUUUUGUAGCUUAUGAAAUUUACUACAACUUUGCUUUAGAUGUCAUUUACAUGCAAGGUUUCUAACACCAGUUUCAUAAAAUAUCUUUAAAAAAGAGGUCUAGGGGGUCAACUAGGUCAAUCUAGGGUUAACCAUGGCUUAGGGGCAUUUUUGGCCAAAACAUCCAACAUGAACUUUGUUCAAAUAGUUAUUCUAAACAUGACUAAAGUAUUUUGGGAGACAAUGUACACUUGCAUGCAUUUGUCACCCAUUACAAUCAACCAUAGCAAGUCAUAUAGCAAUUCAAUCACAUAGUAUAUGUAACAAAUGGCAUGUGAUCAUGGUAUGAUGCUCAUGAGUGAUUAUGAUGAUGCUUAUGUUGAUGCAAUGCUCAUGGUUAACAUGCAAGCUAACACUAGGAGUGUUACAAUAAGUACAUAUUUUCUGGAGUUCAUGAGAAAAAGCAUACCAAUUUAGUAAGGCUUAGACAACGUAACGAUGAAUCGGUAGAGAGCUUUGUGCAGAGACUGCGGGAUGUAAAGAACAAAUGCUAGAACUUGGUUCUGGAUGAUCGGCAACUAGCUGAUUUGGCUUCUCAAGAGUUUGAAUGUUUGAGUCAUUUGGUGCAGAGAAUUUCUGAUUAGGGCGUUAGGACUUUCGAACCUAGGAAGAAUUGGAAUAAAAAGGUAUCAUUUGUCGAUGAGGCUGAAAUUUCUGAUUCUGGUGAAGAACCAGUCAUCGGCUUGGUAGAGUGGGUAAAAAAUAAGAAGCCGAUGUCUUGUCCUUUUGGCUAGAAAGAACCAAAUAAGUUUGCUUUUCAUAUUACCAAAGCCGAUAGGAUAUUUGAUUUCUUGCUUCAAGAGGGGCAGACUAAAUUGUCGCCUAAUCAUGUAAUUCCAUCGGCGGAGGAGCUGGAAAAGAUUAAGUACUGCAAAUGGCAUAAUGCAACCCCGCAUAGGACAAAUGAAUGUAAUGUGUUUAGGUAGCAGUUGCAAUCAGCUAUAGAAUGUGGUAGAAUCAAGUUUAAUAAUUCCAAAACUCAGAAUCCGAUGAAGAUUGAUUAACACCCUUUCCCCACAAAUAUGUUAGACGCCAAUGGUAAGACUAAGGUCUUGACGUCAGAAACGGCUGAGAAGAACACAUCUACAGAUCGCCAGCAUCACAUAACUACCGAUGAUGCCAAAGGAAACGGUUUACUAAGGGAAGGCUAUAGACGGCCUCCCCGAUCUGGCAUAGUAAUCAUUCAUAUAUGGUAGUAGGAGAAUUGGCAGCAGCGUGAGGAUCGGUAUCGGCAUCAACAAGAAGAUAGACAUCGGGAGGAGUGAAAUCAACAUAAAGAUCAUUGGGAUUGCCCAUUCUUUAUUCAUUAUUGGGAACGAGAUAUCAAAUUGCCGACUGUUGAAGAUUAUCCCGAGUGCAAUGGUUACCGUCGACAUAAUCGGCCAAAUCAGAGAUUCCAAACCAAUAAUCGACGUUUUAAUGAGCCGAUCAGGGGGAGAAUGUCAGUACAUGAUCGGCUGCGGGGCAGGCUUAAUGUGCAUGAAAGGCUUGGUGGACGUGUCAGUUAUUUCCCAAGAAAUCAAGAAGAACUUCAAGAGAUGGCAAAUGGGUGGGUUCGCGAUGAAUUCUUAUUUUACAGAGAUUCUAACAUUCAUCGUAUAGAGCCAAAGCAAGUGCGCUAUCAGUCCGUUUGGAAGACAAAGCUUCCCGAUGGCAUCCAGAGUGUUUGACAAGAACAUAAUGGAGGAUGAUGCAACGGGAACGUCGGGAAGAUUUGUAUAGGGAAGAAAAUUCUUUUAAGUCUGAAGAUCGGCAGCAGUUGGACCGCAAGGGGAAAGGACCAUCGGCAGACAUCAAUAUUUCUUGCACCUUCUCAUGAUGAUGAGGAAAUUAGUCUCUCUAAUCAAACAGCUCAGUUGGCACUUGAUCCAAUGAUGGCUAUUUUUGAAAAACCUUCUGAUGAUGAGAGGCAGCAUCUUCAAGCAUUGUUCGUUAAAGGCAGGGUUGAUGUGCACCCAGUCUCUAAAAUACUUAAUGAUGGAGGGGCUGCAAUUAAUAUUAUGUCGUAUAUGAUGUAUCAGAAACUUGGUAAAGGAGAUCAGAAUUUAACCAAGACCGAUAUGAUGCUGAAAGAUUUUGAAGGUAAUGUGUCUCCAGCCAAAGGAGAUGUAUACGUUGAAUUGACUAUCGGCAGCAGGACCUUGCGGACAACUUUCUUUGUCAUCAAUGGAAAGAAAAAUUUGAUGCAAUCUACUAUUGGGGCCAGAUUGGAUUCAUGCCAAUUGUUGUGUCCCUUCUAUGAUGCAUUAGUGCCUUGUUCAAUGGGUACGCGAUAAAAUUGAAGCUGUUCCUAUUGAUUCUUCCUCCAUCAUUGCAUCGGCAGAAUCAGAUACUUAUGAGCGAACCAGGUGCAUAUCGGGAGAGGAUUAGGAGAAUGAUUUCCUCAAAGUUGUUGAUUAUGAGAUUCCACCGAUCCAAGCAGUCGGUUCCGAUGAGGAGUUUUAAUAGACAGGUUCCCCAAUGAUGGAAAGUUAGGACAGGGGUUUACAUCGGCUAAUGAUUUAGUAGAGGUAGACAUAAGUAGUGGUGACAGGCCGAGGCCUACUUUCAUUAGUGUUAAGUUAGAUUCUGAAUGUAAGCAACAAUUAAACGAUUUGUUAAAAGAGUAUAAAGAUUGCUUUGCUUGGGAUUAUACUGAGAUGCCUACAUUAGACCGAUCAUUUGUUGAACAUCGGUUGCCUAAUAUUCUUCCUAACAUUAAGACCGACUAGCAACCAGCACGCCGAUGUAACCCUAAUAUUCUUCCUAACAUUAAGGCCAAAAUAACAAAGUUAUUGAAGUUAAGUUCAUUCGAUAGUGUCGGUAUGCUAAGUGGAUUUCCAAUGUUAUUCCUGUCUACAAGAAAAUUGGAAAACUUCAUGUAUGCAUUGAUUUUAGGAAUCUCAACAAAGCUACACUGAUGGAUGGCUAUCCGAUGCCAGUUGCCGAUUUGUUGGUUGGUGCUACAACUGGGCAUCAGAUUAUUAGCUUCGUAGAUGGUAAUGCACGGUACAAUCAAAUAUUCAUGGCUGAAGAAUAUAUUCCUAAGACUGCGUUUAAGUGUCCUGGUCAUGUUGGGUUAUUUGAAUGGAUAGUCAUGACUUUUGUCUUGAAGAAUGCUGGUGCUACUUAUUAGAGGGCUAUGAAUUUUAUUUUUCAUGAGUUCAUCAGCAUGUUGGUGGAAAUUUAUAUUGAUGAUGUGGUGGUAAAGUCUAGGGAUUUCAUAAAGCAUCUAGCCGAUCUGCGAAAAAUACUUGAAUGUACAAGGAAACAUGGUCCAAAGAUGAAUCCUAAUAAAUGUGCAUUUGGUGUAUCGGUAGGCCAAUUUCUAGGUUUCAUGGUGCAUCAUAGAGGAAUUGAAAUUAGUAGGAGAUCUAUUGAUGCAAUCAGCAAGAUAGUUGCCCCUGUCGAUAAAACUGAACUUCAAUCCUUGAUCGGCAAGAUUAAUUUUAUCAGGCGGUUUAUAGCCAACCUAUCAGGUAAGAUUAAGGCAUUCAGUCGUUUUCUCAAAUUAAAAGCCGAUUAGGAGUUUGUGUGGGGAAACGAGCAACAGCUGGCCUUGGAUGAAAUUAAGAAUUAUUUGAUAAAUCCUUCUGUACUAGUUCCACCUCAAUAUGGGAAGCCCUUCCGAUUGUAGUUGUCAACCGAUGAUACGCUUAUCAGUUCAGCUCUCAUUCAUGAAUUUGAAGGGAAAGAAUGUGUGAUUUAUUAUUUAAGUAGGAGAUUGGUGGAUGCUGAGAUAAGAUAUUCGGCGAUUGAAAAAUUAUGCCUGUGCUUGUACUUUUCUUGUAUUAAAUUGAGGUAUUAUUUGCUAUCGGCUGAAUGUACUGUCAUAAGCAAGGAUGAUGUAGUCAAAUACAUGUUAUCCACGCCAAUUUUGAGUGGUAGAAUCGGUAAAUGGAUACUAGCAUUGUUAGAGUUUGUCUAACGUUAUGAAUCGGCUAAAGCAGUCAAGGGACAGAUUAUGGCCGAUUUUGUUACCGAACAUUGCAGUUCGGUAAAUUAUUUCGAGGUUGCUCCUUGGACACUUUUCUAUGAUAGAUCUACAUGUGUGCAAGGAGCAGGUAUCGGUGUGGUGUUAAUUUCUCCCCGGGGGAAGAAGUAUGAAUUGUCAUUGUCGAUUGUUGCUACAUCGACAAACCAUCAGGCUGAGUACCAAGCUCUGAUAAAAGGAUUGUCGAUUGUUGCUGUUGAAAUCUUCGGUAAUUUUAUGCUUACUAUAAAUCAGUUGGUUGGAGUUUAUGAAUGCCGAAGUGAAAUUUUAAUAUUAUAUUACGAGAGGUGUUUGCAGUUAUUAAAGGAAUUUAAGGAUUUUUGUUUAGAACAUAUUCCCCGAUUACAUAAUGAAGAAGUUAAUCGGUUGGCUCAACACGGUUCGGGAUAUCAACCUAUCCUAGAGGUAUUUUUGUCAGCAAUCGGUGCCAAUGAUUGGAGAAAGGAGAUUAUUGAUUACCUAAAAGAUGCAUCUAAGAAAGUUGAGAGACGUGUCAGAUUUCAAGCCACCAAGUAUGUACUCCUUGGCAAUGAGCUAUAUUAUCGUACCGUAGAUGGGAUUUUACUUAGAUGUCUUGGUGAUGAUGAAUCAAAAAGUUUGAUGGGUGAAAUUCAUGAGGGGGUAUGUGGAGCACACCAAUCGGCUUUUAAAAUGAAGUGGAUGAUUAGAAGAAAUGGAUAUCAUUGGCCGACUAUUCUUGAGGAUUGUUUCAAAUAUUUCAAAGGGUGUCAAGGGUGUCAGAAGUUUGGCAAUAUUCAGAGAGAGCCCGCAUCGGCAAUGAAUCCUAUUAUCAAGCCUUGGCUGUUCCGAGGAUGGGCUAUUGAUCUCAUCGGUCAGAUUUAUCUGCCAUCAAGCAAGGGACAUAAGUUUAUUCUUGUUGCUACUAAUUAUUUUACUAAAUGGGUUGAAGUCAUUCCUUUGAAAAAAGGGACAUCGGCUAACGUGAUUGAUUUUGUUAAGGAGCAUAUUGUUUACCGAUUUGGUAUUCCUCAGACAAUUACUACCAAUCAAGGUACUAUGUUUACAUCAGGGGAAUUUGAUGAAUUUGCAAUCGGUACGGGGAUUAAGGUGUCGAAUUCUUCCCUUUAUUAUGCUCAAGCUAAUUGGCAGGACGAAGCUUCUAACAAAGGGAUCACUAAGCUUAUCAAGCGAAAGAUUGAAGAAAACCCUAAAUGAUGGCAUAUGGUAUUAAAUGAAGCCCUAUGGUCGUAUCGGAUUGCGUGUCAUGGUGCAACUAAAGUGUCGCCAUAUCAGUUGGUAUAUGGGCACGAUGUUGUGUUACCAUCGGAGGUCAAAGCUGGCUCUAGGUAGAUAUUCUCUAAAGACCAAUUAGCUGCCGAUGAUUAUGUUACUCUAAUGAAAGAUGAGUUGGGGGAUUUGGUGGGGCAUCGGUUGAAGGCUUUAGAGAAUAUAGAAGAAAAUAAGAAGAGAGUAGCUAGAUGGUAUGACAAAAGGGUAAAUGCUAAGGAGUUUACUGAUGGAGAUUUAGUUUGGAUGUUAAUUCUACCGAUUGGGACUAAAAUUUCAAAAAUUUGAAAAUGGUAUCCUAAUUGGGAAGGUUCUUAUCUGAUAAGUCGAUCUGCUCCUAGCAAUGCAUACAUUCUAGAGACUCUUGAAGGAGUUGAAUUUCCCAGGGCAUUAAAUGGGAAGUAUUUAAAAAAGUACUACCCUAUUAGGAUACCAUUUAAGAACGCAGGCGAUAACAAUCAUAUCGGCUGGACAAAAUACUCGUGUUUUUAGAAGGACUAGUGAGACCUAUUGCCGAUGAAAAGGUUUACAAAUUCAGCAAAGCUUGGAUAGCCGAGAUCGCACGCGGGCGAAUCUAGUUGGCUUCCUCUAUUUCUCGGGUGUCUUCAUCGGCCGAGCCUUCUACUGGUUUUAGCUUCUUCUUAAUCUGCAGGGCCUUACGAGCUUGGGCGUCCCUUUCUUGCUGGAGAUCUUUUAGUGUAUCGGGCAGUCGACUUUCUUCAUGCUUGGCCUAGGUUAUUGCUUCUUCAACUUGCUUAAGUUUUGCGAGCAGGGCUUCUCUUUUAGCCGAUAGAUCAGAAAUCUUCUGCUUUAGUUUAGCACCUGAAGAUUGCAAAGUGCUGAUGCUCUUGUGCUUUUCAUGGGCAGCAUCUCCUCCUUGAGUUGGGCCUGGGCAGCUCUGUCAGCAACAUGUUGGACAGCCUUUUGAUACUAGAGUUGGCGGCUCUCCAGAUGGGCAGCUUGGAAUAGCAUCUCUUCGGCAUCGGCUGGGAUCUGACCACAAAGAGUCUUGAAGAUAGCCUUGGCUGGGUCGGAGUUAUCUACCAGUUGAGCUGUGUCUUGCUGCAGUAGGCCCAAUAGAUCCUCCAACUUAGAUUUGAUCUCUGCUCAUGCGAUUCCAAGCGCCAAGGAAGAACUUGCUUCUUCACCUUUGUCAUCGGAAUGUUGAUGGCAAAGGAGAACAAGCUGUCGAGUGAGUCUUGUUCCUAAAAAUAGUGGAAAAGAUGAGUUAGUCAGGAUUAGAUAUGGAUAGUACAAGAUCGAGAAGAUCAGGUGGCUUACUUGUUUUAGGGCGAUCUCUUGCCUUUGGCUUAGAGAUGUAACUUGUAUUAUGCCAUGGUCGGCUUGAUUUGCCGAUGGAAUAUCUUCAGCUGCAAAUACUAAGAAUGAUGAUGGUGUUUGUGUAAAAGUUCAUUGACAAUGACUUUAUGAUUGUUAUUUUACCUUGAGGGGAAGCGAUGGUUGCCUACUCAGGAACAACAGUCGAUGACGUGCCUUGAUCGAAUGGAUCAAUGGUCUGCAUAGUUGCGUCGGCCGAGUCUGCUUCAAUUUGGGGCACCGGAUGAGGUGGAGAGGAUGGUGCUACUUUCUGCCAUUUCGGCUGAGUCUUGGUGCUUGUAGGGGCUUUUCUCUUGGGUUGACCUUGGCUGGCUUUUGAAUAUGGGGCAUCAGUGUUGGGUAUUUUAAACGCAAACAGAAAAAUCCGCAAGCGCACGGAUACCGAUGUAGCUUUCACCCGGGAGUAUUCCAGAGUAUCGAUUUUCCACAGGGAACAUGAGUGUACUAAUUAAGAUUCAAGAUCGCCCAAGGAUAACUAUAUAAUUAUUUUUGGUGGGAAGAGAGGAAGUUUCCUGAGAGUUCUCUAGUUGAUCUAAGAAUCAAGAAUUACUUCAAAGAUUAUUUAUUUUGGGACAUCAGAACACUAACCACAUAAUGAGAUGAGAAGGGGGCUAGGAAGCUCUGACUACGGUCCUACAAACACCGAUCCGAACGAGGUGGAAUACGUCGACCGUUAGGGCUGUGACUACCCUACGGCUACCACAACAAUCCGCAGGAUUGGGUGCAAUUCCAGGUAAUUGCAAGACUAAACACCACGUCUAAUCUAUUAAUUACUACUCUAGCGUUAUAAAGAUUAGAGCACAUGAUGGAAGUGGGAAACCAAUAAAUAAGUUGAAUGUAAAUAAAAUGUGGCAGAACCCCCUAAGUGUUUGGGCCCACCGGCACCUGCCAUUGUCCUAAGGACCUCUGACGGUGAUGCCGGGAGUCCUCCCACUUUAGAAGUCCGAUGAGCAUUGCUGGGCGCUCAUUCCACUGCUACCUGUGGCGUACCAAGCUGGCUCGUCCUGACCACUGGUACUGGUCAAACAACGAGAACUGUUUCUUCUCGCCUUUACAGGUUAGCAAGUGGCCACCUUAACACCAGGAUCAUUCGUUGCGAAGAUAAAGCAGUGACUCAAUGACACAAGACCCAAUUAAUAUUUCAGAGUGAAACAGCGGAAGUAUUACAUAACUUAAUUUACAAAAGGAGUUCUUCCAAAUAGUAGAGUGUUAUUACAAGCCUGGUCCAGCGGAGCAACUGAAACUUUAGUAUAGACAGAACAAAUUUACAGACCCUGCCCAUGGGUCGCGCUCACUCUUCUUCGUCGUCAACCUCGACGACGGUCACACAACAGGGUCCGAAACAAGUCGGCUCCUGAGCUUCACCUGCAACAAGGGUAUUGAAACCCUGAGUACGGGAGCACUCAACAAGACUUACCCGAUGGGAAAAGAGGAGAACUUAGGGAUGCAGGCUUAGGGUAGACAAGGGGUGGCUGAGCAAGGAGCCAAAGUGUUUUGCGUAAAAAGCUUAUUAGUAGUGCAUCCUUAUUUUCAAGUUUUACCCACGAAUUCCUCCCUCACAGAGGCCGAGGAGUUCGAGGACAGUCUAACUGGUUGUUCCUCACAGACGAAUCCGUGAGUUCCUAGUCCUAUCAUAAAGUAUUAUUUAUCGAUGGCCAUAGCUUCAUGUCGCUAUGAGUCCGGGAAUUGGGAUCCGAACCUCAUGGGACAUUUUCCCCUUUCUCAUGUUAUCAUUCAGUUGCAUUUUUAACUACGAUGAGGGUCGAAGGAAUUGAGUCUCCCAAUCGGGGAGCAACGACGAUUCGAAUCGCUUAGCAAUCCAGCUGGAGUUCCUAACCACCCGACAUAUGUAGAACAAGAUCUUGCAUAUAUCAACCCAAAUCAAGCUCUCCCCAAAUUUGACCAGGUUCGCGGCACCCGAGAGCACAGUACUCCACCAUCCUACAGCCGAUCUAGAUGUUUUCCGGUCAUCUCAGAUCCGUAAGGUGGGUACACACUACUCUCGCCAUCUUUCCACUCCCAGUGCGCGAGUAGCUGUUCGCGUCGAGGGAUCACUAGACCGGGCUUACCGAAGGCAAGUGGCUAGUACUAUAAAUUCUCAACCCAGCAGGCCAUCAACGGAACGGUCCUUAAUCAACACAGUCGGAGACACUACUUUAAGACUCCAUUCUUAGAGCAAGUCCACCGACCGGUCUCAAAUUGAAACAUCAUUGAUCGUAAGUGUAUCCCACAACAACCCUUCAAACUUUCUUGUUUUAAAACCUAUCUAGUAGCAGGGCUAAGCAUCGCUACGCAGUUUUGAAAUAAAACAGGUGUCAAGGACAGGAUACAGAUAUCAAGGUAGUAAAUGCAGCAAGUAGGUUAACCCAAUUCUCAACUACCUAAUGCAGCAUUUUCAAUUCAUAAGUGACAAAAGAUUUAAAACAUCCAAGGAGGGGUUAAUGCAUCCGGGGCUUGCCUUGGUUGCAGGGCAGAGAGGGACCCUCGGAGACUUCCCAAGUCUCAGAUUCGACUUCCUCGAACGGAGCACCGACCUCGGGGUUCGGUUCAACGGGCGCUCCUUCGGUCACGGAUACUAUACGCAAAAUGAUGAAUGCUCAUGAUAUGCGUAUGAUCAUUAUGCAAGAAGGGUCAAGUCGAGUACAACUUGCCUUCUUGGUGCAACACAGAAUAAACCAUAAAUAAACUUGUUUUUACCCAAGAAGUUGCAUCUAUAAAUUAAGACUUCUCUUAAUUCAUAAUGAUCUUAAAUCGAUUAAUUACUAUCCCUAUUUACCUAAAUUAAUUCUUAAUUAAGUACUAAUGACAGUAAUUAAGCAUUAAGGCCAACCAAUAAUUAAGUGCCAAAGGUCAUUAGGGUUAAUGACCUCAGGUCUUCACAUAAUCCUAAAGUCACUCAAACCCUAAUUAUGAGGAUUUAACUAAUCAUUGUUUACUUACUUUGGAAUUAUUAUUUAAUCACUAAAUAAGGGUUUAAUAAUGUUUUAUUCAAACAUUAUCCAAAUGUCACCAAACUUUGUGUGGAGCCAGGAAAUAAUAUUCAGAGGCUUUCCACAAAAUUUGGUGAUUUUUGGACAUACCAAUAAAUUAUAAAAAAUCAUGCAAGUUUUAUUUGCUAAUUAAAGGAGCCAAUUGUUAUACCCUUGCAAACUAUCAGAAAACAGAAUCUAGUAUUUUUCAUGGAUCCUACAUAUUUCAGGGAGUCUAUACAAAAAUUUUUAUGAUUUUUGGAUCACCCCACAAUUUUCUACACAAAUUUCAAACAUUCAGCAAAAAUUGCAUAAAAAGAAAAAGAAAAAGUCACUGCAGCGCGGUUUGGAAUCGGCCCGCAGGCCGGCCCGCUUUGCUCGGCCCACGCGAGCCCGAGCGGGUGGCGCGUGCUGCCCCCUUCCCCUCACGCGGACACUGACGAGCGGGCCCCGCUUGUCAGUUCCGUCUCCCUCGCAGCCGGCGGCCUUGCCGCGCUCCCGGUUGCCACUGGCGAGGCCCCAGCCCCACACCAGGGUGCGCAUCGGCUGCGCCUUGAGCUUGCGACUCCAGAGGUAUGGCUUGAGGACGCUCUACCGCCCUCCUCCUAUCUCGGCCACGCGAAAGGCGGCGGCCGCCCUGGCCGACCGUCGGCCGGCCACUAGGGCCCGGUAGAGUGUAAACGGAUGGCCUAGCGAGCUUCCACGGGGAUUAGGAAGAGUGGUGCUCACGCUGCAAGGCGCGGGAAAGCAGCUGAAGCCGCUGGCGACGGGGGCAGUGUCGUCGGGCGGGAGCUCUUGCUCCGGCAAGCUUGUUCCGGCAAUCCUGCUCACAAUCAAAGAGAGGGAGCGAGCGCAUGAGCGACCGGGGCACGGGAGGAACGUGAAACAGUCGCCAGUGGGGUGUGAUACUCACUGGAACACCGUGGCCACGGGAAGAGUUCCGCGGCGGCGGUCUCGGCCGGAGUUGGAGAAGAGGGAAAAGCUCUGGCGCUUGAGGGGGUUAGGGCGUGAGCUUGGGGGUGCUCUGGGUCCGCAAGGAGAUGGCGAAUACGGCAGCGUGCUCAAUUUGGCGCGAGGGGAACUGGGUACGGUGGAUUUCAGAGAGAGGGAUGUCGAGUUUCUCCGGCCGUGGACAGCGAACACGGACGGCGUCGUCCACGUCGGUGCUCAAGUGGAGGGGAAGGCAAGCCCGAGGCAUCCACGUCGCCUAGCGACCCUGGCAGCAAGCAGCUGCGUGCACUCACGCAUGCGCGCGGCGCUGCUCGCGUGGCAGCUGCGCUGGACAGGGAGCCGGUGAUCCCUAUCGGAUCACUGUAGCAACCCCUAUCUUCCCCUUUUUGUCCCCUUGCGAAUUUCAGCCAAAAUUUGAACUAAAGUCCAAUUACCACCAAAACAAGAGUUGUACAAAAUUUUGUAAACUACAAAUCAUCUUUUGGUGCCCAGAGCUGAUUCCGAGUGGAAGGUAGCCAAUUUGGCCAAACAGUUUGGAAUUUCAACUCAAAUCGAUGAAAUUCAAAUUUUUGAAUUGGGGGCAAAACAGGAUUUCCAAAAUUACUUUUGUUUUUCCUAAACAGCUUGAAAAACUCCCAACAUGAAAGUUGCUCAAAUUUUUGUGCUCUACAACUUUCAUGUUGACCACUUUUCAAAAUUCCAAAUGGAUUUUGAAUUGAGGGUUUAAGUUGGAAAAGGGGACACUUUCUGGAAAUCUGUAUUUUCAAAAUUACUUUGAAUUUUGUAUUGAAACUUCAAAAACUCAAAACACCAAAGUUGUACAUCUUGCCAAGAGCUACAACUUUGCUUUUGAACUCAACCUCAAAUUUUGCUUAGUUUUUGACUUAUGCAAAAGGGGACAAAUCUAGGAACCAGAAAUCAGGGUUUCCCCCCUUAGCUUUUCGGAAAAUUUCCACCCUAGGGUUUUUAGCAACCACACAAGCAUCAACAUCCCACAUAAACACACUCUACCUCCCUAAGCUCAAGCAAUAAAAAUAAACUUGUUUUAAGUUGAUGCAUACUAAGGUGCUUUAACAAAUAUGAUUUGCAAUGCUCAUGAUGACAUGAUCCAUUUUUAGUAACCAUAACAUCAGGGAUGUUACAGCCCUUCCCCCUUAAAGAAAUCUCGUCCCCGAGAUUUAAAACCUUAGGGUAAGUAAUGGAAAAGGAAAUUUGUCAAAACUCUUUCAUCUUCAACUUUUCCAUAAGGCAAGGAGUUGGGGAAAAUACUUCAUUGUAAGCAUAUAUGUACAUUAAGUACAUGGCUUUGGCGACUCUUUUCCUUCACUAGAGUACACUCUCCGGUUAUCAUAUAUUGUCCUGAAGAGAAGCAUGGAAUUCAGGAAAAUUCUCUAGCAAGUAAUCUUCAGAUUCCCAGGUGGCUUCUUCUUCAGAGUGCUGGCUCCAUUGUACCUUAUACCAUUUGGUGGUUGUCCUUUGAGUAACUCUAUCUUUUUGAUCCAGUACUCAGAUAGGGUAUUCCGAAUAAGUUAGAUCUGGUUCAAGCUUUACAUCUUCAAUAUCUUGAACUCGGUCUGGUACCCGAAGACACUUUUUCAGUUGAGACACAUGGAACACAUUAUGCACCCCGGAUAAUCGUUCGGGCAGUUUAAGGCGGUAAGCGACCUGUCCACAUCGGUCAAUAAUUGGAAAUGGACCAAUGUAACGAGGCGCUAACUUGCCUUUAACACCAAAACGAUUUACUCCUUUCAUUGGGGAUACUUUCAAAUACACAUGAUCACCUUUGGCGAACUUUAAUGGUCGACGUCUUUUAUCAGCGUAACUUUUCUGUCGGGACUGAGCAACUUUCAAGUUAUUUUGGAUUUGUUUCACUUUGUUCUCAGUCUCUUUCACUAAGUCAACUCCGAAGAACCAUCUUUCUCCAGGUCCCGACCAGUGUAACGGAGUUCGACAUCGGCGACCAUACAGUGCCUCAAAGGGAGCCAUUUUGAUACUCUCUUGAUAGCUAUUAUUGUAGGAAAAUUCUGCUAGAGGCAAGCAGUCAUCCCACUUAUCUGGAAAAUUCAGGGCACAAGAUCUUAAUAGAUCUUCUAGGGUUUGAUUCACCCUUUCAGUUUGCCCACCAGUUUGAGGGUGGUAGGCUGUGCUGUAUAAAAGCUUAGUGCCCAGGGACUCAUGUAAACAUUUCCAGAACUGGGAGACAAAUUGUGUGCCCCUAUCUGACACUAUUGUCUUUGGCACCCCAUGCAGACUUAGGAUACGGUCGAAAUAAAUCUUAGCAUAGGUGGAGGCAGGAUACAAUAGCUUUACCGGCAGAAAAUGUGCUGUUUUGGUGAGACGAUCUACUAUGACCCAAAUGGAAUCAAAGCCCUUGGCCGUCUUGGGCAAUCCUACUAUGAAAUCCAUACUGAUGUCAUCCCAUUUCCAUGUGGGGAUAGGCAAAGGUUGCAACUCCCCAGCGGAUUUGAGAUGAAUGGCUUUGACCUUUCGACAGGUGUCACAUUGGGCCACAUAGCGAGCUAUUUCUAUCUUCAUUUUUGUCCACCAAAAUCUUUGCUUCAGGUCCUGAUACAUCUUAUUGCUUCCCGGAUGAAUGGAAUACCUCGUGGUAUGAGCUUCAUCCAGGAUUUGCUAACGUAGCUCAGGUACCUUUGGAACCACUAACCGGUUCUUGAACCAGAUUACUCCCGCAUCAUCCACCUUAAAGUCUGUGGGUGCUCUAUUAGAAAUCUUCUCUUUAAGAUGUCUCAUGUCUUUGUUUUCUUUUUGUGCCUUUAUGAUUUGAGCUUCGAGAUUGAAAUCGAUCUUUAGAUUGGAAAGGCUUCCUUGGGAAAUCAUUUCUAUUCCCAAGUUCUCUAGCUCUUGGCACAAAGUUAUAUCCCUAGGCGUCACUGUUAAGCAAUUAUAGUGAGCCUUACGACUGAGGGCAUCCGCUACUACAUUUGCCUUGCCAGGGUGAUAAUGCACCUCAAGGUCGUAAUCUUUAAUUAGUUCUAGCCACCUUCGCUGGCGCAUAUUGAGCUCAGCUUGAGUAAAGAUAUACUUCAAGCUUUUGUGAUCUGUAUAUAAAUGACAUGUGUUCCCCAACAAAUAAUGACGCCAGAUCUUUAAUGCAUGUACCACGGCGGCUAGUUCAAGAUCAUGGGUCGGGUAAUUCUCUUCAUGGGGUUUGAGUUGUCUGGAAGCAUAUGCAAUUACGCGACCCUCCUGCAUCAGCACACAGCCUAACCCGAUCCCUGAUGCGUCACAAUAUACAUCAAAGGGUUUUUCAAUAUCUGGCUGGGCUAAGACAGGUGCAGUGGUCAACAACCUUUUCAGAGUCUGAAAGGCUUGCUCACAUUGGGGUGACCAAACAAAUUUUGUUUGACUUUUGAGCAAGGUUGUGAUUGGUUUGGCGACUCUGGAAAAGUCCGGGAUAAAACGACGGUAAUAUCCCGCCAUGCCCAGAAAACUACGGACCUCAUGUACCGUAGUCGGGGGUUUCCAAUUCAACACAUCUUCUACCUUGCCUGGGUCUACAGCGACUCCUUCCGCUGAUAAUACAUGACCCAGGAAAUGAACUUUGUCCAGCCAGAACUCACAUUUGCUGAACUUGGCAUAUAGCUGAUGCUCCCUGAGACGGGUCAGCACGAUUCUCAAGUGUUCAGCAUGUUCUUUCUUAGUCUUGGAGUAAAUCAAAAUGUCGUCAAUAAAGACAACAACAAAUUUAUCUAGUUCUGGCAUGAAGACAGAGUUCAUCUGGUACAUGAAAUGGGCCGGUGCGUUAGUCAACCCAAAAGACAUCACCAAGUAUUCAUACAGCCCGUAACGGGUUGUGAAAGCGGUCUUGGGCACAUCUUCCGGCCUAAUUUUAAUUUGGUGGUACCCUGAUCUCAAAUCAAUUUUUGAGAACACUUUGGCCCCAGCUAGCUGGUCAAACAAUAAGUCAAUGCGGGGCAAUGGGUACUUGUUCUUAAUCAUUACCUCAUUUAGAGGACGAUAGUCGACACACAGCCUUAAUGUCUGAUCUUUCUUUUUCACAAACAAGGCUGGGCAACCCCAUGGAGAAGAACUGGGCUGAAUAAAACCCUUCUGCAACAACUCUUGUAAUUGGGUUUUUAAUUCGGCCAGCUCUUUCGGUGCCAUUCUGUAGGCCCUUUGAGAUAUUGGGGCCGUUCCUGGUUUCAAUUCUAUACUGAAUUGUACAUCCUGGUCCGGAGGCAGACCUGGUAAGUCUUCAGGAAAUACAUCCGGAAAAUCUCGAACUACCGGAAUAUCUUUGACUUCAGACACAUUUGCGGCAUGAACUUGCCCAAUUGUCCGUUUGGGAGUAACUAAUUGGAUUAGCAAAUAAGAAUUCUCAUUGGGCAAUGGGAUUUUAAUGGUUCGAUGCAAAGUGUCUAGCACAACCCCUCGUUGCGCCAUCCAGUUCAUGCCUAAGAUGACAUCAAUUUCUUGGUCCUUAAGAACAAUCAUGCUAGUAGGAAAAUUGUGCCCACCAAAUUCGAUGGGUACUUGGUGAACCAUUUCUUUAGACAUCAGCCGUCCUCCUGGCGACUGUAUAUAAAAAUGAUCUUGUGUUUCCCCAAUGGGUAUGCCAUGCUUUAACACAAAGGUGCGAUUGAUGAAUGUAUGGGAUGCACCAGAAUCAAAGAGCAUUAAAGCAGGAUGCUUCGCAACAGGAAACGUACCCAUCAUCACUGGUUCACCCUCUGGAAUUGUCUCCACUUCAGUAUGGAAGACUUGCCCUGUCUUCUUUACCGGUCUACCUUUCUGUACCUGUUGCCCCUUUUGAACCCCAGUUCUGAACUGACUCGGCUGGGGUUGGCCCAUAGGUGGCCUUGGAAAGGUAGGGUUGGUUUGGCGGGGAAAAGGGCACUCUUUAGAGAAAUGCCCAGGUUUACCACAAUUGAAGCAAGGGUAAUUGUGGCUGGGCGGAGCAGUAGGGCGAACACCCGGGGCGUUCGGCUGGCGUGGUGCAAAAGCGAUGGCAGUAGGUCGAGAAUAUACCUGCUGCCCGGGUCUGUACUGUGGAGGGGAGAAAGGACCACGAUAAGGUGACGGCGCUUGGAAACGUCCGUGGCCCUGUGGAUGAUAAAUGAUCCUCUGGCGCUUUUGACCGCGACCAGAGAAAGAAGAGGAAGCAGCCUUCUUCUUGGCUUCCUUAUGUUUCCUAUUCUUUUCCUCUGAGGCGAUAGCAAUAUUUACCGCCUCAUAGAAAGUAGCAUUUUGGCAAGUGGUCAUCAUGGUCUGAAGUUUAGUAUUUAGACCACGCAUGAAACAGGCUUUCUUCUUUCUGUCAGUGUUCACAUGAUCCGUGGCAUAUUGAGAGAGAUGAUUAAACCUUGCCACGUACUCCAUAACACUUUUAUCGCCUUGCUGCAAGGCGAGAAACUCUUCGGCCUUCAUGGCCAUGAGCCCUUCGGGAAUAUAGUGGGCGCGGAACGCGUCCUUAAAUUCGGUCCAAGUGACUUGGUGUCCGGGAGCUUGAAUAGCUAAGAAGUUCUCCCACCAGGCACCUGCAGCUCCCCGAAGCUGCUGAGCUGCAAAUAGGGGUUUCUGAGUUUCUGAACACUGAAUCAAACUGAACUUAUGCUCCAUGGUUCGGAGCCAGUCAUCCGCUUCUAAAGGCUCAUCGGCCUUAGUGAACACCGGGGGCCUGGUCUCGGUAAAGUCCACAUACCGAGUCUCUCCGUCCCCGUUGCGCGGUGCCCUGAAGUUUGGAGCAGGGUGUGGUUGACGCUGUGCUAGCUCGCGCAGCAAGCGAGCAUUGUCAAUAGUGGCACUUAACAAAACAGCAAUGGCGUCAGCCAAAGAAGGCGGAGCAGGUGGAGGGUUGGGGAUAUCAUCCCCUCCCUGGGAUGUCCCAGCUCCAUCAGAUCCGCGAGUACGCAUCGGCAUCUGUUACAAGAAUCGUAGAUACCUGUUACCACGUAAAAUUCAUAACACAGAACAUAUCUUACAUUCUUUCAUUCACUUAUUAAACAUUAGUUCGACACACCAAGAGUAAACAAGUACAACUUUUCAAACCAAAAGAGAACUUAUAUUACAAACCCGAACCCCUCUACGGCAAGCUAAGACCCCUACAACGACGUUGCCCUCGGUUUCACCGAACUAAUCGGUGUGGCCAGAGCUGUAGCCCGGGUCGUCAUUGCCAUCAUCUUGAUUACCCCCUGGGUUGUGGUCAUCGGGGUCGGACUCCUCUUCAUCACUGAGGCCUGGAUCGGGUUCUCCAUCGUCUGCCAACUCGCCAUCCGUAUCCAUUUCUCCUUCGCCGGGAGGUGGGUGGAGUUGAUGAUACAGAUCAAAUGCAAUAUCACGAUAUUGCAUAGCCAGGUCAUUGACUGUAUCUAAGUGAUGUGCCAGCUCCAGUUUCUCCAGCUGGAGCUGGUCCUCUCGUUGCCACGCGACAUCCCGUUGUGCGGUGACCGUGGCCGCCAUCUUCACAUACAAAUCCUUAAGAUACCUUGCCUUGCCCAACUUUGCGUUCAUCCUAGUUAGCUCAUGCCUAUGGGUGCUCCUAGCUUCUUCCUCUCGGGCAAUGGCUGCAUUCCGCUCCUCCACCAUCCGGGACAACAUAGCUUCACAGUUUUCUGUAGCUUGUUUUUCUUUGGCCAGUUGAGCUUUAAGUUUGCCAAUCUCCAUAACAUUGUACAUUCUUUCUCUCAUCACCUCAGUCAACUCGGCGGACAACCUGUCCACCUCCUGCUGAGGCGGUGAACGGCUACUACUGGCUUGAUCACUGCGUGGAGCUAGCUGAUGUCGGGGAACUCCUUUUGGACCGGUCCGCUUACGCGGGGUCUGCUUCUGACGAGCCAUCCUGUAGAGAGUAAGUUUAGAUUAGUAAGAGAGACCUUAAAGGUUAGCAAGAAUAGGAUUGAUUCUAUUCACCCAACCCAACAAGGAGGAAGGAACUUAACCAGUUAAUACAUCAUGAUGCAUGCACGAACUUACGAUUCCUACUAACAAUUCGUAGCAAUAUUACCUUAAAUUUUUUUACAACAUAGGGCAAUACUUUAGGUUGCUCCUCCAUACCACUUCAAAAAUUCUAAGAAAGCCUAUAGACAGGGGUAGAUUAGGACUAAGCACUUGGACUCAAAAUAGGCAGGUUCAUAGUAGUAGAUCCAAACAAAUUUUUUUGAAAUUUUUCAAUAGGUACAGCAGUCAUCUUAGCAACGAAUGCUCUGAUACCAGCUGUGGCAGAACCCCCUAAGUGUUUGGGCCCACCGGCACCUGCCAUUGUCCUAAGGACCUCUGACGGUGAUGCCGGGAGUCCUCCCACUUUAGAAGUCCGAUGAGCAUUGCUGGGCGCUCAUUCCACUGCUACCUGUGGCGUACCAAGCUGGCUCGUCCUGACCACUGGUACUGGUCAAACAACGAGAACUGUUUCUUCUCGCCUUUACAGGUUAGCAAGUGGCCACCUUAACACCAGGAUCAUUCGUUGCGAAGAUAAAGCAGUGACUCAAUGACACAAGACCCAAUUAAUAUUUCAGAGUGAAACAGCGGAAGUAUUACAUAACUUAAUUUACAAAAGGAGUUCUUCCAAAUAGUAGAGUGUUAUUACAAGCCUGGUCCAGCGGAGCAACUGAAACUUUAGUAUAGACAGAACAAAUUUACAGACCCUGCCCAUGGGUCGCGCUCACUCUUCUUCGUCGUCAACCUCGACGACGGUCACACAACAGGGUCCGAAACAAGUCGGCUCCUGAGCUUCACCUGCAACAGGGGUAUUGAAACCCUGAGUACGGGAGCACUCAACAAGACUUACCCGAUGGGAAAAGAGGAGAACUUAGGGAUGCAGGCUUAGGGUAGACAAGGGGUGGCUGAGCAAGGAGCCAAAGUGUUUUGCGUAAAAAGCUUAUUAGUAGUGCAUCCUUAUUUUCAAGUUUUACCCACGAAUUCCUCCCUCACAGAGGCCGAGGAGUUCGAGGACAGUCUAACUGGUUGUUCCUCACAGACGAAUCCGUGAGUUCCUAGUCCUAUCAUAAAGUAUUAUUUAUCGAUGGCCAUAUCUUCAUGUCGCUAUGAGUCCGGGAAUUGGGAUCCGAACCUCAUGGGACAUUUUCCCCUUUCUCAUGUUAUCAUUCAGUUGCAUUUUUAACUACGAUGAGGCUCGAAGGAAUUGAGUCUCCCAAUCGGGGAGCAACGACGAUUCGAAUCGCUUAGCAAUCCAGCUGGAGUUCCUAACCACCCGACAUAUGUAGAACCAGAUCUUGCAUAUAUCAACCCAAAUCAAGCUCUCCCCAAAUUUGACCAGGUUCGUGGCACCCGAGAGCACAGUACUCCACCAUCCUACAGCCGAUCUAGAUGUUUUCCGGUCAUCUCAGAUCCGUAAGGUGGGUACACACUACUCUCGCCAUCUUUCCACUCCCAGUGCGCGAGUAGCUGUUCGCGUCGAGGGAUCACAAGACCGGGCUUACCGAAGGCAAGUGGCUAGUACUAUAAAUUCUCAACCCAGCAGGCCAUCAACGGAACGGUCCUUAAUCAACACAGUCGGAGACACUACUUUAAGACUCCAUUCUUAGAGCAAGUCCACCGACCGGUCUCAAAUUGAAACAUCAUUGAUCGUAAGUGUAUCCCACAACAACCCUUCAAACUUUCUUGUUUUAAAACCUAUCUAGUAGCAGGGCUAAGCAUCGCUACGCAGUUUUAAAAUAAAACAGGUGUCAAGGACAGGAUACAGAUAUCAAGGUAGUAAAUGCAGCAAGUAGGUUAACCCAAUUCUCAACUACCUAAUGCAGCAUUUUCAAUUCAUAAGUGACAAAAGAUUUAAAACAUCCAAGGAGGGGUUAAUGCAUCCGGGGCUUGCCUUGGUUGCAGGGCAGAGAGGGACCCUCGGAGACUUCCCAAGUCUCAGAUUCGACUUCCUCGAACGGAGCACCGACCUCGGGGUUCGGUUCAAUGGGCGCUCCUUCGGUCACGGAUACUAUACGCAAAAUGAUGAAUGCUCAUGAUAUGCGUAUGAUCAUUAUGCAAGAAGGGUCAAGUCGAGUACAACUUGCCUUCUUGGUGCAACACAGAAUAAACCAUAAAUAAACUUGUUUUUACCCAAGAAGUUGCAUCUAUAAAUUAAGACUUCUCUUAAUUCAUAAUGAUCUUAAAUCGAUUAAUUACUAUCCCUAUUUACCUAAAUUAAUUCUUAAUUAAGUACUAAUGACAGUAAUUAAGCAUUAAGGCCAACCAAUAAUUAAGUGCCAAAGGUCAUUAGGGUUAAUGACCUCAGGUCUUCACAUAAUCCUAAAGUCACUCAAACCCUAAUUAUGAGGAUUUAACUAAUCAUUGUUUACUUACUUUGGAAUUAUUAUUUAAUCACUAAAUAAGGGUUUAAUAAUGUUUUAUUCAAACAUUAUCCAAAUGUCACCAAACUUUGUGUGGAGCCAGGAAAUAAUAUUCAGAGGCUUUCCACAAAAUUUGGUGAUUUUUGGACAUACCAAUAAAUUAUAAAAAAUCAUGCAAGUUUUAUUUGCUAAUUAAAGGAGCCAAUUGUUAUACCCUUGCAAACUAUCAGAAAACAGAAUCUAGUAUUUUUCUUGGAUCCUACAUAUUUCAGGGAGUCUAUACAAAAAUUUUUAUUAUUUUUGGAUCACCCCACAAUUUUCUACACAAAUUUCAAACAUUCAGCAAAAAUUGCAUAAAAAGAAAAAGAAAAAGUCACUGCAGCGCGGUUUGGAAUCGGCCCGCAGGCCGGCCCGCUUUGCUCGGCCCACGCGAGCCCGAGCGGGUGGCGCGUGCUGCCCCCCUCCCCUCACGCGGACACUGACGAGCGGGCCCCGCUCGUCAGUUCCGUCUCCCUCGCAGCCGGCGGCCUUGCCGCGCUCCCGGUUGCCGCUGGCGAGGCCCCAGCCCCACACCAGGGUGCGCAUCGGCUGCGCCUUGAGCUUGCGACUCCAGAGGUACGGCUUGAGGACGCUCUACCGCCCUCCUCCUAUCUCGGCCACGCGAAAGGCGGCGGCCGCCCUGGCCGACCGUCGGCCGGCCACUAGGGCCCGGUAGAGUGUAAACGGAUGGCCUAGCGAGCUUCCACGGGGAUUAGGAAGAGUGGUGCUCACGCUGCAAGGCGCGGGAAAGCAGCUGAAGCCGCUGGCGACGGGGGCAGUGUCGUCGGGCGGGAGCUCUGGCUCCGGCAAGCUUGUUCCGGCAAUCCUGCUCACAAUCAAAGAGAGGGAGCGAGCGCAUGAGCGACCGGGGCACGGGAGGAACGUGAAACAGUCGCCAGUGGGGUGUGAUACUCACUGGAACACCGUGGCCACGGGAAGAGUUCCGCGGCGGCGGUCUCGGCCGGAGUUGGAGAAGAGGGAAAAGCUCUGGCGCUUGAGGGGGUUAGGGCGUGAGCUUGGGGGUGCUCUGGGUCCGCAAGGAGAUGGCGAAUACGGCAGCGUGCUCAAUUUGGCGCGAGGGGAACUGGGUACGGUGGAUUUCAGAGAGAGGGAUGUCGAGUUUCUCCGGCCGUGGACAGCGAACACGGACGGCGUCGUCCACGUCGGUGCUCAAGUGGAGGGGAAGGCAAGCCCGAGGCAUCCACGUCGCCUGGCGACCCUGGCAGCAAGCAGCUGCGUGCACUCACGCAUGCGCGCGGCGCUGCUCGCGCGGCAGCUGCGCUGGACAGGGAGCCGGUGAUCCCUAUCGGAUCACUGUAGCAACCCCUAUCUUCCCCUUUUUGUCCCCUUGCGAAUUUCAGCCAAAAUUUGAACUAAAGUCCAAUUACCACCAAAACAAGAGUUGUACAAAAUUUUGUAAACUACAAAUCAUCUUUUGGUGCCCAGAGCUGAUUCCGAGUGGAAGGUAGCCAAUUUGGCCAAACAGUUUGGAAUUUCAACUCAAAUCGAUGAAAUUCAAAUUUUUGAAUUGGGGGCAAAACAGGAUUUCCAAAAUUACUUUUGUUUUUCCUAAACAGCUUGAAAAACUCCCAACAUGAAAGUUGCUCAAAUUUUUGUGCUCUACAACUUUCAUGUUGACCACUUUUCAAAAUUCCAAAUGGAUUUUGAAUUGAGGGUUUAAGUUGGAAAAGGGGACACUUUCUGGAAAUCUGUAUUUUCAAAAUUACUUUGAAUUUUGUAUUGAAACUUCAAAAACUCAAAACACCAAAGUUGUACAUCUUGCCAAGAGCUACAACUUUGCUUUUGAACUCAACCUCAAAUUUUGCUUAGUUUUUGACUUAUGCAAAAGGGGACAAAUCUAGGAUCCAGAAAUCAGGGUUUUCCCCCAUUAGCUUUUCGGAAAAUUUCCACCCUAGGGUUUUUAGCAACCACACAAGCAUCAACAUCCCACAUAAACACACUCUACCUCCCUAAGCUCAAGCACUAAAAAUAAACUUGUUUUAAGUUGAUGCAUACUAAGGUGCUUUAACAAAUAUGAUUUUCAUUGCUCAUGAUGACAUGAUCCAUUUUUAGUAACCGUAACAUCAGGGGAUGUUACAGCAGUAAUUAAAGAACUUAGGAAUUAUGAAUUGAAGAACCUUAAGAACGAUGAAGAACGAACUAGUUGCUGCAAAAGUACAAUGUUGAGAAAGAUCCGACAGAUCCGGCUCCUCCUCAUCCGCUCUCCUCUUCUCUCUCCCUUUUUUCUAGAUUACAACUAGAACUAACUAGAACUAGAACUAGAGGAACUAGAACUAGAUGAACUAGAACUAGAACUAGAUGAACUAGAGGGACCCCCUCUACUUGGAUGAAGAAUUGAAACCCUAACUUUGAUUUUGUAGAAGAGGUAUGAUCUCCAGGGGCCAGGGGGCCUUGUUUAUAUAGUCUUUUCAGAUGAAUCUGGGCCGUCGGAUCAAAACGACAUUAAUCGCAUGGUUUUCCUUGAUCCUUUAGGUCGGUGGAGCGUGAUCCGUGAAACGGGUCCGAAUUGGACACUGAUGGUGGGCGGGCACCCAAAGGAGUAGGGCGGGCGACCUGUCCCUGAGCCCUCUCGGCUUCCCGUUCGUUCCCGUGGCUUCUGGAGUCUUCUCGAUGAUAGAAAAUUGCGCGGCACGUUAAUAUCUGUAUGUAAACCCGACGUGUGGGCCUUUCUUCCGUAUUUCCUGAUAACCCCCUGCAGAAAUAGACAAACACCAAAACUCGUGGAAUUCUAUCAGAUAAAACCCUAAGUCUGGGCGUUGGUUGCAUAUAAGUCCUUUUCCAUGAUUAGUUGAGGGUUAAAUGUGAGCAUUAAGGACCAUCAACAAGCUCCCCCAAGCUUAACCUUUGCUCGUUGUUGGGUAUUUUAAACUCAAAGAGAAAAAUCCGCAAGCACACGGAUACCGAUGUAGCCUUCACCCGGGAGUAUUCCAGAGUAUCGAUUUUCCAUAGGGAACGUGAGUGUACUAAUUAAGAUUCAAGAUCACCUAGGGAUAACUAUAUAAGUAUUUUUGGUGGGAAGAGAGGAAGUUUCCUAAGAGUUCUAUAGUUGAUCUAAGAAUCAAGAAUUACUUCAAGAUUAUCUAUUUCGGGACAUCAGAACACUAACCACAGAAAGAGAUGAGAAGGGGGCUAGGAAGCUCUGACUACGGUUCUACAAACACCGAUCCGAACGAGGUGGAAUAUGUCGACCGUUAGGGCUGUCACUACCCAAGGGCUACCACAACAAUCCGCAGGAUUGGGUGCAAUUCCAGGUAAUUGCAAGACUAAACACCACGUCUAAUCUAUUAAUUACUACUCUAAUGUUUCAAAGAUUAGAGCACUUGAUGCAAGCGGAAAUCCAAUAAAUAACUUGAAUGUAAAUAAAAGUAAUUAAAGAACUUAGGAAUUGUGAAUUGAAGAACCUGGAGAACGAUGAAGAACGAACCAGAUGCUGCAAAAGUACAAUGUUGAGGAAGAUCCGAUAGAUCCGGCUCCUCCUCAUCCGCUCUCCUCUUCUCUCUCCCUAUUUUCUAGAUUACAACUAGAACUAACUAGAACUAGAACUAGAACUAGAACUAGAACUAGAUGAACUAGAGGUAGAACUAGAUGAACUAGAGGGAUCCUCUCUACUUUGAUGAAGAAUUGAAACCCUAACUUUGAUUCUGUAGAAGAGGUAUGCUCUCCAGGGGCCAGGGGGCCUUGCUUAUAUAGUCUUUUUAGGUGAAUUUGGGUCGUUGGAUCAAACCGACAUUGAUUGAACGGUUAUAAUUGAUCCUUUAGGUCGGUGGAGCAUGAUCCCUGAGUUGUACCCUGAUUGGGCAGAAUAGGAGGGCGGGCGCCCUAAGGACUAGGGCGGGCGCCCUGUCCGUAAGCCCUCUCGGUUUACGCUUUGUUCUCGUGGCUUCUAGAGUCUUCUAGAUGAUUGAAAAUUGCGCAGCACGUUAAUAUCUCUAUGUAAACCCGAUGUGUGGGCCUUUCUUUCGUAUUUCCUGAUAACCCCCUGCAGAAAUAGACAAACACCAAAACUCGUGGAAUUCUGUCACAUAAAACCCUAAGUCUAGGUGUUAGUUGCAUUUGGAUCCUUUUCCAUGAUUAGUUGAUGGUUAAAUGUGAGCAUUAAGGACCGUCAACAAGCUCCCCCAAGAUUAACCUUUGCUCGUCCCUGAGCAAAGAUGAACUGAAGAGUUUCUGCAGUGGUUUCAUGCCUUAAAGAUAUACUUGUGUUCAAUUAAGAUCUCAUCUCUGGGUUAGGGUAAACUGUUAAGAUUUAAACUUACUCAUUGUACCUUCCACCAUGGGGCUUGCAACCGUCACUUGUGUCUUGAGCAGUUAAAAGAUAUAACGGUCUAGUCAAGCGCCAUGUCUCUUGUUCUUCGAUUAACUACAGCUCUGGAGUUUUUGCAGAUUUUUAGAUAAAACUCAGUGAUUCCUUGUAUGACUCUCUCUAGUCACUCUUUAGUGGUAUAAGACAUAGUGACAUUGUCUUCUCUCUCAUCCAACUCUAAUAAGGCUUUAAUAUCUGGAGCUCAUAGGUGGGAGACAGCUAAUACAUACUUACAAGACAUUUAUUGCAUAGUCGAACCAUGGAUCCAGAGAAACAAGUCAAUAAGUCAAAUCAAGAUGUGCAUGUGUUGCAAAUGAAUGGUGUAUGGUAAUGAUGGUGAUAACAAUGGUGAAAGUCUAAUUCUACUUUUGCUCUUUUGAGGGGAUACAUACCUUCCUUGCUCUUUUGAAACUUUUGGGAAGAAUGAGAUGCUCUGUAUUUUCUUUUUCUUUCCUCUCAGGUGGGCAUCUUGUACCCCUAAUUCUACUGUCGUACACUUGUGCAUUUUUACCUUUCGUCUCACCUUUUUCUUUUCUUUCGAGGUUCCGGGCACUUGCACCUUUUUAUUUCCUCGUAUCUUUUUUCUCUCUCUUUUUUUAGAGCACUCAUCUCUUGAAUUAAUGUAGCAAGUGGCAGUAACCAAGAUAACUUGUGCAUUAAUUUCACAGGGGAAAACAGAAAUGUUUUUGGCUAUUCUCUCCCGGAUUAGGAGUAGAAUAUUUUUGGGUGGUUCUGGAGAUGGAAAUGGGUGGAUAUAUGUGGAUGCGUACUUCCGGAGUAGAAGCAGCAUGUGUGAGUGAACGUGCAAGUGAAUCUUGAUUUUAACCACAUGACAAGCCGCUAAGGGUCUACACAGCUUGACCACACUCAAUGCUCAUAAGCAGUAAAGUAAAUGUAUGGUUCAUAGUCUAAUAAGCAUGUAUAUAUGGCUGUGGUAGGAAUUUAAACUCUCAUCAUACAGGAACUCAUCAUGCAAUAUUUUAAAGAUUUUCAAAGAUAAAAUUCUCCAGAAUUCUAGCAUCUCUAGGAACAUAUAAACAACAACUCAACCUUCCCAUAUCGUAUCUGUUAACGACUUAGACUUUAGAUCAAGUACUCUUCCCACAAGUUCAGGUUUAGAGCAAAUCUUAAUUCAUAACAGUCAUGCAUAAACUUGAGAGAGACUUCAAUUUUGAGAACUAGUCAUGGCAGAGCAACUAUUCAUCAUUUCCAUGUGAGAGCUUAUCAUGAGGGUUCAUAGCAGACUUUAUUUAUUUAUUUAUUUAGCAAACUAAGCAAAGAUAUAUGUAUAUGAGCACAAAAUCUUUAUUUGGGUUUUUAUGAUUAUGCAUCAUUUUAUUAUUUGAGUAAAGUAUAAACAUGAGUAGAACACUUAGCUAGAUAAAUGGGGGUGCUCUCCCCCAAGCUGGAUUUUGACAUAAUUCCUUCUGAUGUAGCUAGCAGGUGGCGAAGGUGUAUUUGAAUGUCGGCCGCACCCUGACAGCGAUUAGGAUGUCCUUCCUCUGCUAGUCUUCUUUGAUCCUUGAAUUCUAUGGAGCUCAAAUAGACAACAAAGCUUUGUGGAACUAGUUAAGUGUUAGCAUAAAUAUCUAGCCUUUAUCAUGUUGAGCCUCCUCAAUAAAUGUUACUCUCUUUAGUAGGAUCAUAAAUUUAUUUUUAUAAUUUUAUUUUUAUAGGACAGGAAUAUAUUUAUUUCAUUUUUACGCCACCAUAGUGAAUGUACUUAUAGGUUUUAUGCCAUGAGCAUACUCACAUGGGGCUUACUAUUUUUAUUUUAUUUUCAAGAUGAUAUGAACCUGAUUAACUAAGCGAACUAUUUUAAAUAAUAGAAAGGAAAAAGAUAACUACCAAGUUUACCUCUUGGCAAGGCGUUCGGUGUUUUCAAGUCCUCCGAAUGGGACUCUCCUGUAUUCUCAGUCGUCCUAGGAUUCGCUGGAUGGCGUAGUCGGUGGUUACGGCGGUGCAUGCUCUUCGUGUAUAACUAUCUUCUCUCUCCACACCUGACUCAGUGCUACGAUCUCCACAAGAUAGUUCUGUUCAAGUUGUAUGUCUUCAGACCUUACAACUUCUCAUUCAUAGUCUGCCCAUCCGUCCUUGAUGAUUUGCCUCCUCUGGUUGCGGUUGCGUCGUCUUCUUCUUGUCCUGACCUGCUUAGAGUCUUCAACUAUGUAGUUAGGGUCAAUAAAAUAGCGGCGUACCUUCUCAAAGGGGAAGUGCAUGUGGACUUCUCCGGUUCCAAUGUAGAUGAUUGCUUUAACGGUGCUGAGGAACGGUCUUCAAAGGAUGACGGGUGGAUUAAAUUCGUCUUCUCGCAUGUCAAUAACCUUUCGGAAUGUCUGAUCUGCCAUCCGGUGUCGCAAAGCGUCUUCUAGAAGUUGUAUCCAUUAAUGGAGCACUGGAUGGUUGGCACACCUGGGUCGUCCUUUUGAAUCAGGAACAGUGACUUAAGUCGACAAUCUUGACCUCCUUGAACUGCAGUGACCAUCUUAGCUGACUUGGUCCACAUUUGCUUGUUCCUGUCCCUCCUGUUGGUCCUCUUCCUUGGUUCAUGUCGGGAAUGCUAAGAUUUGUGUAGUCUUGUUCUUGAAGGAAAACGUCUCCUUCCUCCCCUUGAUGUAGAAUCUGAUCUUGGUAGCACUAGCGUAGAUGACAGUUCCUGAGGUAUUCAGGAAUGGCCUCCCUAGGAUGAUGAGUGCCCCCUCAUCAGAACCGGUCUCUGUCACCAUGAAGUCUGCUGGGGUGUACAAGGUACCAACUCGGACGCAGAGGUUCUUCAAUAUUCCCUUUGGGAAACAUAGUGUCUGAUCUGCAAGCUGCAAACACAUGGUUGUUUCUAAUAAAGGAUGUGUAAAGAAUUUUUCAUAGAGUACCCUGGGCAUAAUGUUGACACUAGAGCCAAAGUCGCAGAGUGCUUCUAGGAUGUCCACCAUGCCAAUGGAGAUCGGGAUGACGGGGCGUCCUGGAUUGUCUCUCUUGAAUGACAGAAGGUCAGUAAUUACUUCCACAAUGGGGUUACUCCAAUAGUUACGUCCUCAAGCAUCGCAGGGCAGUGAUUGCCUAAGUGUCCAGUAUCUCUAGUGUGUUUGUGCUCGUAGAUCUAGGUUCUUCACUUGGUGGAUGGGAGUUGUAAAAGUCCUUCAUAUUUCGCUCAAAGUGUACCUGCUCAUAGAAACAAGGCAGAGAUCAAGUGCAUGGGCCCUGUUGGUAGAACACACCAACAGAACCAAAAGUGUAUUUAUUCUUCUCUAACCUCAAGCGUAGUGAGCAAGACAAAUUUGAUGGAUAAUAAGAUCAUGAGUGUAGCAUUUAAAACAUUUGUCAGAUCAGAUCGUUCAACCUAAUGGAAAGAUAAUCUAUCUAUACUUAUGUUUUUUUAUAUAUAUCUUCCAAAGAUUGAGUGUGCAACCUUUUAGCUCAUAAGAAUAGGAGUGUGGGAUCACAAAGGUGGAAGGACUAAACAUGUUGAAUCGAUUGGGUUGGUUAAUCUAGAGUUGUAAAUCAUACAUGUUUGUCUCUUUUAUUCAUGUGAACGCUAGAACCAAGGAGAAGCUUAUAGAAGUGAAAGUCAAGUACCUUAAGAUGUUACCUUACUUGAAGAGUGAUGGUACAGUAUCACCUUAUGAAAGCUUUCCUUUCUUAGCGGUUAUGCAUCGUGUUUGUUACCUUACUUGAAGAGUGAUGCCUUUCUUGUGUAAAUUGUUAACCUUCAUGCGUCUCUCUCUUUGUCUCCAAUGUGAGUUUAUCUCAGGACUUCCCAGGUCGAUAUUGAAAGUUUUCCUGCAGGGGUUAGUCCAACAAAAUAUCCAAUAUCUACUAUAGCAUACUAUCGGCUCAAAAAUCAACCUAGACACCAUGUCUAAUUUGAUUUAGGAGGGCAUUUUAACCUAAGCACCAUGCUUAAUUUAAAAUCCCUUGGAAGUAAGAUCAUCAUUCCUAAACUAAGCACCAUGCUUAAUUAAGAGAUAAAUGAAACUACUCCAAACCUAGACAAAUACUAAAGCAAAUAAAGGUAGCAUGAGAGCAUUUAUAGAGAUCUACUCAAGUGUAGAUGAAGUAGUGUGAUUAGUAUUUAACAAAUUGAGGAUGUCUCAAAGGUAGGGUCAACCAACAUAGCAUCAUGGCAAAGGCUAUUUUUUUGUAAAGUACUCCCCCAAGCUUGGAUUUUGCAAAAUUCAAGUUUGGAUGAAUUUAAUUCAAUGUUGUAUGAUGAUUGGUUGGACAUACCUUGUGCUUGUCAUUCAUCCGAUCUUCUUGCUCCAAUCCUGGAAAGGUUAGUGACAAGAAUACCUGAAGGAAUAUUUUUACAAUUAUCCUUAUAUGCUCAAUACACAAGGUAAUGUUGCAAAUAAUUAAAAGCUCAUGUUACGAUUUGAUCAGUACUUAUUUUAGGACACUAAGCUUGUCCUUGGGAAACCAUCAAUUUAUGUCAGCGAAGUGGUUUCCCCUCCAACGCUGACCUAUCUCAAGAUCAACUCAACGAGAUCUGCAAUGUUUAUUAUAGACAUAUGCAUCGACAACAGCCCUUUUAAAGUUUUUAUAAAUAGAAAGGAAGAGGGGGUUGGAGAUCUCGAAUGUGGUGAUUUUGGAGAGACCAAAAGAUUGGGAAGAUGUUGCAUAUGAGCAUGGAGUAAAUGAAGUGGCUAUGAAAUCAAUUCCAUGCUCAUUAAUGCUUGGAGUGAAAUCCAUGUGGUGUGGUGAAAAUUGUAAGGUGAGUGUGGUAAAAAAGGAAAAGAAAAGGAUACACUGACGACUUGGUUAGAAACUAGCACAGCUACCGUUCCCCGGCAACAGCGCCAGAAAGCUUGUUGGGUAUUUUAAACGCAAAUAGAAAAAUCCGCAAGCACACGGAUACCGAUGUAGCCUUCACCCGAGAGUAUUCCAGAAUAUCGAUUUUCCACAGGGAACGUGAGUGUACUAAUUAAGAUUCAAGAUCGCCCAGGGAUAACUAUAUAAGUAUUUUUGGUGGGAAGAGAGGAAGUUUUCUUAGAGUUCUAUAGUUGAUCUAAGAAUCAAGAAUUACUUCAAGAUUAUCUAUUUUGGGACAUCAGAACACUAACCACAUAAAGAGAUGAGAAGGGGGCUAGGAAGCUCUGACUAUGGUCCUACAAACACCGAUCCGAACGAGGUGGAAUACUUCGAUCGUUAGGGCUGUCACUACCAUAGGGCUACCACAACAAUCCGCAAGAUUGGGUGCAAUUCCAGGUAAUUGCAAGACUAAACACCACGUCUAAUCUAUUAAUUUCUACUCUAAUGUUUCAAAGAUUAGAGCACUUGAUGCAAGCGGGAAUCCAAUAAAUAACUUGAAUGUAAAUAAAAGUAAUUAAAGAACUCAGGAAUUGUGAAUUGAAGAACCUGGAGAACGAUGAAGAAUGAACCAGAUGCUGCAAAAGUAUAAUGUUGAGUAAGAUCCGACAGAUCCGGCUCCUCCUCCACUCGCCUCUUAUCUCUCCCUAUUUUCUAGAUUACAACUAGAACUAACUAGAACUAGAACUAGAGGAACUAGAACUAGAUCUAGAUGAACCAGAACUAGAACUAGAUGAACUAGAGGGAUCCUCUCUACUUGGAUGAAGAAUUGAAAUCCUAACUUUGAUUCUGUAGAAGAGGUAUGCUCUCUAGGGGCUAGGGGGCCUUGCUUAUAUUGUCUUUUUAGGUGAAUCUGGGCCGUCGGAUCAAACCGACAUUGAUUGAACGGUUAUCCUUGAUCCUUUAGGUCGGUGGAGCAUGAUCCCCGAGUUGUACCCUAAUUGGGCAGAAUAGGAGGACGGGCGCCCUAAGGACUAGGGCGGGCGCCCUGUCCCUGAGCCCUCUCGGCUUUCGCUUUGUUCCCGUGGCUUCUGGAGUCUUCUAGAUGAUAGAAUAUGGCGCAGCAUGUUAAUAUCUCUAUGUAAACCCGACGUGUGGGCCUUUCUUCCGUAUUUCCUGAUAACCCCCUGCAGAAAUAGACAAACACCAAAACUCGUGGAAUUCUGUCAGAUAAAACCCUAAGUCUAGGUGUUAGUUGCAUUUGGAUCCUUUUCCAUGAUUAGUUGAUGUUAAAUGUGAGCAUUAAGGACCGUCAACACUCGUCCCUAAGCAAAGAUGGACUCAAGAGUUUCUGCAGUGGUUUCAUGUCUUAAAGAUACACAUGUGUUCAAACAAGAUCUCAUCUCUGGGUUAGGGUAAACUGUUAAUAUUUAAACUUACUCAUUUUACCUUCCACCAUGGGGCUUGUAACCGUCACUUGUGUCUUGAGCAGUUAAAAGAUAGAAUGGUCUAGUCAAGCGCCAUGUCUCUUGUUCUUUGAUUAACUAUAGCUCUGGAGUUUUUGUAGAUUUUCCAAUAAAACUCAGAGAUUCCUUGUAUGACUCUCUCUCUAGUCUCUCUUUUGUGGUAUUUCUGGAUCCUUAUCUAGGCGGUAAUGGUAUAUGCCAUCUCUCAAAGUAUGUGGUAUUUGUGGUACCAGGCAUAGUGGCAUUGCCUUCUCUCUCACCCUACUCUAAUAAGGUUUUUAUAUCUAGCGCUCAUAGAUGGGAGACAGCUAAUACAUACUAACAAGACAUUUAUUGCAUAGUCAAACCAUGGAUCCAGAAGAACAAGUCAAUAAGUCAAAUCAAGAUGUGCAUGUGUGGCGAAUG